RNAcentral lists this long non-coding RNA (73256 nucleotides) under Aquilegia coerulea. RNAcentral's name for it is "long non-coding RNA (ACOE_LNC001323)". The record is from RNAcentral. Lineage: Eukaryota; Viridiplantae; Streptophyta; Magnoliopsida; Ranunculales; Ranunculaceae.
CCGAUAACUUUGGUACCACUUUCAGGAUCAUCCAAAGGGUGAAUUUGGAUUGUGGAGGAAGGGAAUUAUAAGCCAUGGAAGUAUAAGACCAGAGAGAAAAUGUGAUUUCAUUUCAUAACCAUCCUCACUCUGACCAUUUUUGUUCAGAAAUCCAUCUGUACAGCUUGAAGUUGUGAUGAGUGAUGACACUGCUUACAUUUAUUUCACCCAAUAUACCACAAAAAAAUUUGAGGUCACCAAUCAGGGAAACAAGUAAACAACUUAACAUUUAUUGAACAUACACAGACGAUGGUUUUUCAGAAGUUUCAAGUCCAGAGGAUAAGUAGUAAUCGAGUACACAGCUACACCACAGCAUUUUCACCGAUGGUAAUCACAGAAAUACAUUAGUUGCUACAAAGCUAAUCCUAAGUCACUUCAAUGCAACAAAAGCCGCAUUGAAGGGCUGAUCUACAAAAGUACAAGUAUUUUCAACAAGAAAAAUCAAAUCUAGACAAACACUGAAUUACAGUCAUCCAUGAUAACUAAAACGAUGUCUAAGACGAGGACCUACCAUGUUCAGCAGUUAACUGGAGAGGGUGCUGGAUGUUGCUUCACUUCAUCUCGUCCAAUUUGAUUGAUCUCUUUAGGCUUGGGCUCACCUGCAGCUUCAAUGUGGCUACCAUUCUCUUCCACCUGCACACUUUGUUGUUCACCUUGGUUCCCAUCUACCACUUGCUUCUCAUUGACGUCUUCAGUAGAUUCUGCUGCAGAUCCAUUGAGUUUCUCUUUCUCACCUCCCAUGUGCUGUUUGUCUUCAUCAGAAACAACUGCAGGGGGUUUCGGCUCCCCCACAUUAACUGGACCAUUUGUUUUCUCUGCUUCUACUUGAGGAUCCUCAACAUUUUCAACCUGUUUCUUAUCUUUAGUCUGUUCAGCAGCAGUGGCACCUUCUUCCGCUUUGUCUUUAUCAUUUACUUCUGCAGUUUCAUGAAUUUGAACAUCUUUCCCCUCUUGGGGUUCAAUUGGAGCAGGAGCAGUCUCCACUCCAGCAUUGCAUUCCUUACCCACUGCAGCCUGCACUUUGACUUCAUCCCCACCUUGAUUGUUCUCUGUCGUGGUGUUAUCUUUCCCAGUUUCUGCAAUAUCUUUCUCUUCUUUGUCUUGCUUGGUAGCUUCUGCAUCCUGCAUAUGAACAUCUUUCUCUACUCCAGUUUCAACCAUUUCUGUUUCUUUACCAUCCUUUUUGGACCCAGAUGAUUUCCUACUACGUUUCUUUGGUGGGUCGCUUUCAGGUGGUGGAGUUGCCUUCACCUUCUCACUGAUCCUUGCUGAUCUCCUUGGGGUUUCACCCGUACCCCAAUCAAACUCAGAUAUUGGAACACUACCAGGGUGAGCUUUCAGGUAUUGCUCCAACUGUUUCCUACCACUGAAUUCCUCUCCUGUUGGGGCAAUAAAGACGAUCUCGCUCUUCUUGGGUGUUCCUCCUAGCUUGGGCAUAAACUGCAGAUGCUCUCAAAAAGAAAUUUUACAUGAUAAGUAAUCAGUCAAGUUCACGAUUUUCUAGUGCUCACUACCAUAAUCAAAAGAGAAGCCUAAGAAAUCUUGCAUGCAAUAAAAACGUAUACAGAAAGAUCUAAACGAUCAAUAAAAUUACACCAAAGCUAGUAUAAUAUAUCUAGACAUUUUCCAUUCUCGUAUGAGAUACAAAUCCUUAAUUUAUUCUUUGAAUCAUACAGCUGUAAUUUGAUACAAUAUUGACGAAUAUGAGAUUUUGCACUUACUGAGUUCCCAAAUCUCAUUUGAAUUGCACAGACGACAGGAUUAGUCUUACGUUUAAGUAAUGUUUUUCAUAUUUGGGAGUACAAGCGGUCAUGAAUAGACUUGUACAGUUAUACAGUCUAAUCAUCACAGUACUAAAAGACUUAAUACCCUUUGAGCUACUGUGGUACAUGCACACUACUAUCUCAAUAGAAAUGAUACCUCAAAAAAAAUUAAGCAACUAGGAUCAAAUUAAAAUCUCUGAGAUUGGUCUCUGAUAUAUAUGGAAAUUUUGCUUUAAUGAAUUCGUUCAGAGCAGGACGUGGGACUGAGCCGUUCAAGUUAGAUUAUAAAAAUUUGAUAAAGAGUUUAGUGUGUGUCAUAUACUUCAAUUUUGGCAUAUACAUUCCAUUGUGGUUGUAUUUCCUCAUACUAUACAAUGAAUAAUUAAAUAUAGCUUUCCAGCCUUGAAAAUGGUAUCAGAAUAUUGGAGAAAUAUAGGCAAGAACUAAAAAGAACAUUCGGCAAACAGAUUCAGCCCCUGAAAAAUUUAUGACUAAUCGGGUGACACCCAAAUUCUUGGAGACAAUUCCACGUCAGACUACCCUCCAAGUAUUAAACGACAAAAGUAACAAAACUGGUGCCUGGUUAAUGCAUGGGAUUCAGCUCCUGAAUAAUUUUACGACGCAUCGGGUCACACCAAAAGGAGUUAUUUUAUCUCUUGCACCUCAUAUCCAAAAUUAACAUAAAUCUCUAGAGAAAGAAUGAUUCUUUAGAAAAAUACACCUCUAGCUUAAAUCUAAAUCCCUUUUAAUUUCGCAAAAAUUUGCAAUGGUCAGAAUUUUUCUUGAAACAAGACCAACAUAUUGAGCUAUUCUUUUAUUCCCAGCUCGAAAAGCCAGUGUAUAAACAAAUAACUGCGCUAUUUCUAUCUUAUUCUCAACUGUUCCCACUUAAAUUGAACACAACCUUCCAUUUAAACGAAGCAUAUGUACUAAGGUAAUACAGUAAGAAUUAAGCACAAAUCCCCAAACUAUAAUCAGGACAAAAAAAUCCCCAACCAUGUCUUCCUUGUAAGAAAGUGUUUUCCAUUUUACCCUAAAUGUCCAAACAAAUCUCACUCAUUUCAACAAUAAAUGAAAAACUAAUUAAACACUCAAUUUAACAUGAAAUUUCAAAAAUAAAAAUUAAUUUUAUCAUUUAAAACAAAAAAAUUAACAUUCUUUCCACAAACCCUAAAAGUCAAACCAUCAACAAAAACCAAAUUGAAGACCUAAAACUACAAAACUUAAAGAAACACAACAUCCCCAUUUCUAAUUUCACAUAGAAAAACAAAACUUCAUAUUCAUAAGUCAUAACAAGUAAAAAAAAAAAAAAAAAAAAAACAAUUACCUUUUUCUUCCAACCAAGAGGAGCUGGAAGUUCAACAGAAACAACUUCUUCAUCUUGGGUUUUGGUUUGAAGGUCUUUCUCAACUGAAGUUGCCAUCUUCUUCUUCUGCUUCUGCUUCAAAGGUAUAGUGAAGUUUAGCUUGAAAGAAAGUUUAGAAGAAAAAUAAGAAUAAAGAUUGAAUUUUUAUUUUAUCUUGUUUACCUUUUUCUUCUUCUCUUCUCUUCUGUGAAAUUUCAAUUUAAAGACAAUGUGACAAUUACAAGCAAAUGCCGGAAACAAAGACACGAGUUCGUUGUCUUUGAUGAGUGCUAACUACACCCUUUAUCCAUUUAGUCUAUUCAACUGCUCCUGCGUUUAAAUUAUAAAACUUUAUCUGUGGAUUAUGAUAUGCCACGUAGUGUAUUCUUAAAGUCAAUGACAAGACUUUGUUCGUGGUUUUAAUCAUGAGCUUUGUUAAGUUAGCAAGUUUUAUGAUGGAGAGUAGUAGAUAAUAACUUACGUACCUAUCUAAAUUUUGUUUUUUUGACUGAGUUCCAAUCCUGUACUCCAAACACUGGAAAUCUAUUUUGAAUCUCAAUUUCAUAAUUUAGUGCUGUUCAUAGGAUCGAAACUUCAACCAUUGUCAUAUAUCCAACGGUUGACAGUACAGUGAAUCAAGGGAGAGUGAAGUUGGUUUGAAUGUUGGGAGCAUGAGAUUAAAACCAGUUGUGGAUGAGGGUAGAGUUGUCUUUACAUAAUGUAGCACGUUUGCAUGAGGACUGAGGAGGACAUGGUCGUGGACUCGUGGAUCACGUUGAGAGGAAGAGUACACAUAACGUAGUAACUUAGUGGACUUCAACUCCAAACUUAACUGAAUUGAAUUCUCAAGUGUGGACAACCUACAAGAUGGGCUUUAGAGUUAGGUGCUGUUUGUUUUUCCACUUUUCUAGUAGCUUGUAGCUUAUAAGCUACUAGAUCAGCCAAAAGCCCGUUUGUUUUUUUGGGCUUAUAAGAUUUUUUAGUAGAAAAUCGCUAGUUAGUAAGCGGUUACUAUAAGCUCCAGAAUGAAGCUUAUAGCUAGUAGAAAUAUCUGAUAGGAUGUAAAAUUACAUCUAAAACCAUUCUUAAUAAUUAAAAUUACUAUUCAAACCAAAAUCAAAACUGAAAAUUUAUAUAGGUUAUGUUUGUUCUAUUUUCGUCGUCUUUUUCUAUUAUUUUAAAAAUUAUUUUAUUGUAUUCAUUCAUUAAGAGAUACUCUUAUUUGUUAUGGUGUAAUAUUAUUUCAUUAGGAUUUUUCUAUGUGUAGUAAACUAAAAUAAUUAUAGAACAUAAGUCCAUUUUUUUACGAGGGUAUAUUAGUAAAAAAAUAUAUAUAUAAAUAGAUUUAGAAGUGGAAAAAACAAACAGAUAAAAACAACACCGGUGUUGUUUGUUUUUUCAGUUAUCAUAGUUCUGAUAGCUUAUAAGCUAUUAGAAAACCCAAAUGUAUGUUUGUUUUUACUUCUAGUUAAGGUCUUAUAAGCUUUUCUAGUAGAAAUUAGCUAAAAAGAUGGCGGUUAGUAUAAGCUCCAUCCCCAAGCUUAUAGCUAGUAGCUUAUAAGCUAUAAGCUACUAGACAAAAAAACAAACAGCACUGUGAUGGUCUAUAUGAGAAAAAGUUUGCUCCCGACAGUUUUUAUUCCUUGCAUUUUUUUUAAAAGUUGAAUAAAAAAUUUAUUGACGAAACAUGAAAUUACAUAAAGGUAAAGGACAUGCGCGCUACAAGCUCCACUGUGAAUUCUUUUUAAAUAGGCAAUCUCACCUUUCAAAGUCUAUAAAUGUAAGGUUUUUGAAAUUGGUUAAGUAUCCUCAAUAUUUGUUUAUCUGUGGAUCCAUCCUCAAUGUAUUUUGUCUCUUUAAGAGAGUUGUGAGGAUGUGAGUUCGAAAAUAGAAAAUUGAUGUGAUAUUGAAACUUUGGAUAUUGAAUAUUGAAAAUUGAUUUGUUUUCCCAACUGUAGUGUGUGUUAUUUUUAUUCUCCAAUCAUCGACGUUUGUGUGAUAACGUUUCUGCGAGGCGCAACAACACAAACCACCUAAACAAGGAGUAGCUUUAGAUGAAGGGUUACAUCGCCUAGAUGUAAUUAGCAGUCAGGAUUGAGAUUGCAAAUGAGAAGGCUUAUACAUAUUGAAUCCUUAACAACUGUAUUUUUUUAUUCUUUAUUAAUAUAGGUUAACUUCAAAGAAAAAGAAAGAUUAGUAUGAAUACCCACUGAUCCUUGAAGAUGAAAAGUUUUUAUGAUUAUCACCAUGCUUUAGAGCAUCUCUAAUGCACGGUCUAAAUUUAGCAUGCCACAUAGGUGACACAUCAUCGUUUAUAGCAUUUUCUAAGAUUUUGCAACCUUCUAAAUUUACAACUUUUAUUUUAAGACUAAUGCACAUAAAUUUUACAACCUUGUAUUAAUAUAAAAAGAAUAAAACAAAUGGGGAACAAAGAGACUAUUGAUAGACUGUUGAUGUACUUUCCAAAAUAUAUAAUAAAGAAAUCAUAUGUUAGAAUAAAGAAACCAUUUAUUAGAGAUAGAAGGUUGCAUAUUUUGUUCCAAAAUGAACCAUGCAUAUAGCAGAUGCAUUUAUAGCAUGACUUAUAACAUGUGCAUUAGGGACAAAAUUAUAGGAAAUGCUAUUUUUAGACCGUGCAUUAGAGAUGCUCUUAGGCCCGACACUCAUUCUUUCAAUAAUGUUUAGGGGUAUUUUGUAUUUGGUCCCUCUAGAAGAUGGGUAAUUAUCAUUUGGUCUAAUCUUUAUCGUUUAUUAGUAAAUAGUCCCUUUCUGUCACUUGACUGUCAAUCAACUCAGUUGAUCAGAAUCAAGACAUCCAUAAUUUCUUAAUGACCAGACUACCGUUUCACAUGACUAGCAUGUGAGAAACUUAAAACUAUAAAACCAUAAAUUAGUUGUUUGUAGACCUACAAAAUUAGUUUAUGGUCCUCAUUUUUCAUAUUUAGUUUCAAAUAUAGUCUCUAGGGGUGGCCAAAAAACCGAAAAACCGAAACCGAACCAAGUCAAAAUCGGUCAAAACUGUGUUAACCAGGAACCGGUCAAACCAAAUUGGAACUAGAACCGAACCGAGUAUAUACAGUCCAGUUCCAGUUCCUAUUCUAAUAUUUCGGUUCGAAUCGAACCGAGAAUAUAUAUAUAUAUAUACACGUUCAUAUAUGUUUUUUUAAUUUUUUCUUAUAAAUGUUGGAUUAUAUUCAAAUAUUCAAUAGAUUACAAAAAAAAAAUCAAAAUUAUUAAAGCCCCAAAACAAAAGCCCAAAAUAAAGCCCAAACAAAAAACAUAACCGAAUUAAAUCUGUUCGGUCCAGUCUAGUUUAAGUAAUAUUUUUCGGUUUUUGAAACCAAACCGAACUGAACCAGCUUAGACAGUUCGAUUUCAGUUUAGUGGUAAAAUGGAACCGAACCGAACCGUGCCCACCCGUAAUAGUCCCUAUAAGAAAUAGUGGACAUAACCACGGAAGUUAUUUUACCGGAUUGAACUUGAACAUGUAACCAUCACCCAUGGAAUGUCUAGAAUUUUUCUUUACUUGAUUGUCAUCUUCACUUAUAAACACAAGAGAAUAAACUUCUAGAGGUUUCAUGGGUGGUGGUUACAUGUUCUACUUUUUUUUUUUUUUUUUUUUUUUUGCAAAUGUCAAGCUGGGGUUUGGCUUAGACCCCUACCAGUUUAUUAUCAAGAAUUUCUAAAAAAUAAGGUACUAGUUACAUCCUGUGUUACAAGGUCAAGCAAUUCCCUUUGAAAUGGAGGGUUGAAGAAUACAAUAGAUUCAUUUGCUUCACUCAAGUUCGCCAACCAGUCAGCGUGAUUGUUUAAUUAUCCGAUCGACAACAUGUUCAAUUCUAAACUCGUCUAAGUUGCUCAAGGUUUCCCUUAUCACAUCAACAAGUAUGAUGGUUCCCCAUGUGGGCAAUGUUUUUCUCUGAAUAAUUCUUGUGGCUUGUAGUGAGUCAAAAUGGAUAAGCAAUUUCUUUAUUCCCAGCUCCACAGCCAAGUUAAUGCCUUGUUCAAUGCCUUUGAGUUCCAGGUAUAGAACUGACCUUGUACCAGACUCUGCAGUAAAAGCUAUUAUAGAACGUUUGUUCGACGUACGUACGUCCUCCUUUGUUUUUGUGCUAUAUGGGCCCUGUUUAAGCCCAAUUCGUGGUCUAUUGUAAGGCUAUGUUAUAAAGCCAAAUAGAAGUGGAAAAACCUAAUGAAGUUUUCUAAGAGAGAGAUUGUGAGAAGCCAUUAGAGAGUUGGAGAACUUUUGUGAGGAAGAAGACUUCGGUUUCUUCGUGAGGGCUUGUACAAUUGUCUCGAAAAGAAAAGCAUCAUUUUUUCUCCCCGUGGACGUAGGCAUAUUGCCGAACCACGUAUAUCUUAUGUCUUGUGUGGUUGCUUGUUUGAUUUUGUCGUUUAGUUUUACUUUCAUACAUUAGUUCAAUCAUCUUAUUUGUGCAUUAGUUUCCGCUGCGCACAACAGGAACCUCCCAAAGUGAUGAUUUCAGUGUACCAUCCUACCAAACCCAAUGCCGGUUCAACAAUACUCGAGAUUUCCUAUUUUUGAAUAACUUGCUCCGUAUUGUAUGGAUCAAGAUGCAUAUGAUAUGCAUAUUGACCAAUUCAGGUCGUACGAGCAAACAAUGUCAUGGGAAUAUUACUGUACUGAGUUCGUCCCCACACGUAUGCGACUCGAAGCUCAUCGGUUUGACUUGGGGUGUCUAUCAUUCUGGUUGAGUUGUUAUGAGGUUGUUUAUGUUUAGAUUUGAAACAAAUAAAAGUUCCGUGAAUAUCCGCCCGAUAUUUACGAUUUUUUACCUAUGAGUAAAACUAUCUUGUGUAAUAGUUCCGUCUUAGCUUCCUUGUAUGAUUUGUCGCGUGUUUAAUUUGUAAUGUAUGUUUUUCUUUUAAUUAUAAGUUUAUCUAUUGAACCCAGAAGAAAAACAUGACAAUAGCAGAAAACCUCCCAAUUUUUUGAUUUUUUUGCGAAUAUUCACGAAAUAUUUCGUGAGAACCAUUUUUGCCAAACCUCCCAUAUCUGACAUUGGGGUUCGAAUAUUCGCGGAAUAUUCUGAUUUUUUCGAGGUCGGAUAUUCGGAUAUGAAAUUUUCACCUAUGGUCUCAACUCUCAAUUGUAUGUGUUGCAGUUAUGCAUGCUUAGCUUAAUUAGAUGUUCCUCUGAGUGCCCGUGUCUCAGACAAGGAAGUUUAUGCAUGACUUUUUAGUUUUUUACAUAUGUACUGGACUAGAAAACAUGUAUUCUCAUGGGCUUUGUACAUCUGUAUUUUCCAUUAUUUAUCAAACCGUAGUAUAGUGGUAACUGGUAAAUGUGGUUUGCCAUCAAACAUAAAACUUCCGGCAAAUGGGUUUUGCCACCUUUUAUCAAACCGGUUAUCAAACUAUGAUAAAAUAUCAAAUGCGGACAAUUUACUGAUACGAUAUUUUUGCUAAAAAAAAACAAAAGGAAAAAUGGCAAUUUUUUUAUCAAGCACACAGAAGACAUAGACUUCCCACAUGUGACAACUAGGGGUGCUCAACUUGCCCCGUGACCCAGACCCGCCCCGUUCCCCGCCCCGUUUUUUAUCUCCCCGCCCCGCCCCGCCCCAAUAUUUGCCCCGCCCCGUAUCCGCCCCAAUGGGUAGCAGGGCAGGGAUGGGUUUCAUUGUAUAGAUUGAAACCCCGCCCCGUGCCCCGCCCCGUUCCCCACCCCAUAUCCCCGCCUCGUCCCCGCCCCAUAUCCCUAUCUUCUCUAUAUAUCACUCUCUCUCUCUCUCUCUCUCUCUCUCUCUCUCUCUCUCUCUCUCUCUCUCUCUCUCUCUCUCUCUCUCUCUCUACCUCAACUCUCUCUGCUAACCUUUGAAUAGAGCAAUUUUGCACUGUGAUGAAUAUAUCUACUUUUAGGAAGGUGUGNNNNNNNNNNNNNNNNNNNNNNNNNNNNNNNNNNNNNNNNNNNNNNNNNNNNNNNNNNNNNNNNNNNNNNNNNNNNNNNNNNNNNNNNNNNNNNNNNNNNNNNNNNNNNNNNNNNNNNNNNNNNNNNNNNNNNNNNNNNNNNNNNNNNNNNNNNNNNNNNNNNNNNNNNNNNNNNNNNNNNNNNNNNNNNNNNNNNNNNNNNNNNNNNNNNNNNNNNNNNNNNNNNNNNNNNNNNNNNNNNNNNNNNNNNNNNNNNNNNNNNNNNNNNNNNNNNNNNNNNNNNNNNNNNNNNNNNNNNNNNNNNNNNNNNNNNNNNNNNNNNNNNNNNNNNNNNNNNNNNNNNNNNNNNNNNNNNNNNNNNNNNNNNNNNNNNNNNNNNNNNNNNNNNNNNNNNNNNNNNNNNNNNNNNNNNNNNNNNNNNNNNNNNNNNNNNNNNNNNNNNNNNNNNNNNNNNNNNNNNNNNNNNNNNNNNNNNNNNNNNNNNNNNNNNNNNNNNNNNNNNNNNNNNNNNNNNNNNNNNNNNNNNNNNNNNNNNNNNNNNNNNNNNNNNNNNNNNNNNNNNNNNNNNNNNNNNNNNNNNNNNNNNNNNNNNNNNNNNNNNNNNNNNNNNNNNNNNNNNNNNNNNNNNNNNNNNNNNNNNNNNNNNNNNNNNNNNNNNNNNNNNNNNNNNNNNNNNNNNNNNNNNNNNNNNNNNNNNNNNNNNNNNNNNNNNNNNNNNNNNNNNNNNNNNNNNNNNNNNNNNNNNNNNNNNNNNNNNNNNNNNNNNNNNNNNNNNNNNNNNNNNNNNNNNNNNNNNNNNNNNNNNNNNNNNNNNNNNNNNNNNNNNNNNNNNNNNNNNNNNNNNNNNNNNNNNNNNNNNNNNNNNNNNNNNNNNNNNNNNNNNNNNNNNNNNNNNNNNNNNNNNNNNNNNNNNNNNNNNNNNNNNNNNNNNNNNNNNNNNNNNNNNNNNNNNNNNNNNNNNNNNNNNNNNNNNNNNNNNNNNNNNNNNNNNNNNNNNNNNNNNNNNNNNNNNNNNNNNNNNNNNNNNNNNNNNNNNNNNNNNNNNNNNNNNNNNNNNNNNNNNNNNNNNNNNNNNNNNNNNNNNNNNNNNNNNNNNNNNNNNNNNNNNNNNNNNNNNNNNNNNNNNNNNNNNNNNNNNNNNNNNNNNNNNNNNNNNNNNNNNNNNNNNNNNNNNNNNNNNNNNNNNNNNNNNNNNNNNNNNNNNNNNNNNNNNNNNNNNNNNNNNNNNNNNNNNNNNNNNNNNNNNNNNNNNNNNNNNNNNNNNNNNNNNNNNNNNNNNNNNNNNNNNNNNNNNNNNNNNNNNNNNNNNNNNNNNNNNNNNNNNNNNNNNNNNNNNNNNNNNNNNNNNNNNNNNNNNNNNNNNNNNNNNNNNNNNNNNNNNNNNNNNNNNNNNNNNNNNNNNNNNNNNNNNNNNNNNNNNNNNNNNNNNNNNNNNNNNNNNNNNNNNNNNNNNNNNNNNNNNNNNNNNNNNNNNNNNNNNNNNNNNNNNNNNNNNNNNNNNNNNNNNNNNNNNNNNNNNNNNNNNNNNNNNNNNNNNNNNNNNNNNNNNNNNNNNNNNNNNNNNNNNNNNNNNNNNNNNNNNNNNNNNNNNNNNNNNNNNNNNNNNNNNNNNNNNNNNNNNNNNNNNNNNNNNNNNNNNNNNNNNNNNNNNNNNNNNNNNNNNNNNNNNNNNNNNNNNNNNNNNNNNNNNNNNNNNNNNNNNNNNNNNNNNNNNNNNNNNNNNNNNNNNNNNNNNNNNNNNNNNNNNNNNNNNNNNNNNNNNNNNNNNNNNNNNNNNNNNNNNNNNNNNNNNNNNNNNNNNNNNNNNNNNNNNNNNNNNNNNNNNNNNNNNNNNNNNNNNNNNNNNNNNNNNNNNNNNNNNNNNNNNNNNNNNNNNNNNNNNNNNNNNNNNNNNNNNNNNNNNNNNNNNNNNNNNNNNNNNNNNNNNNNNNNNNNNNNNNNNNNNNNNNNNNNNNNNNNNNNNNNNNNNNNNNNNNNNNNNNNNNNNNNNNNNNNNNNNNNNNNNNNNNNNNNNNNNNNNNNNNNNNNNNNNNNNNNNNNNNNNNNNNNNNNNNNNNNNNNNNNNNNNNNNAAACUCAUUAUUUUUCUGAACCAGAAUUCUUUAAUAAUAAUAAUAACUAGUAAUACCCGUGGCGCUGCCACGUUUGCCAAUUAAUUGUAUAUUGCAUAGUAAAUUCUAAUUUUUAUGAAUAUAUUUUGUUUGUUCUACUUAAAUUUGAUAACUAUAAAUUCACAUAAUUACAGAGUUUGUUUGUCAUUCAAAUUUAGCUAUAUAAUUGGUAUGGUAAGGAGAGAUACACAUAGGUUAGACGCAUAAGUUCAUUUAUGAAGAGAAGGCAUGGAGGAGUAUGGCCAAAUAGAACAUGUGAUGCUAACCACUAUGGGAGAAAUUGAAUUGAAACCUAAAAAAAAAAAAAAAAAAAAACAAUCAAGGCAAUUCUAGUACAUAUUUGUGCAGCAGAUAUAUUAAUCGAAUAUAUUAAUAGAAUACCUAUAUUAUCCAAAAAAUUUCUACUUUGAAUUAAAUUAUUUUUCAUGUUUUUUUAUAGUUAUAUAUCCUUUUCUUCAGUCUUCACCUCGAACAUUUCAUUCGUAAAUAAAUUGAUUCUUUUGUUUGCUAUUUGUUUGCAAUCUUCUUCUUCUAAAAUCUUGUCCGCACGACAGUUUUUAUUCAUGAAUAUGAUCCAUUUUUUUUUUAUCUUUCCGACUAAAGUAUCCAUUUUUUUUUAAUCCAUCACAAAUUCACAACCAAUUUCAUUACACUUGAUGUAGUGCCGAUGACAAACUAUGGUAGUGUUGUAUGGAGUCUGCAAUUUCUACUUUGGAAAAAUAUAUAAGGAGUCUGCAAUUUCUAUAAUGUAACUCAGUUGUACUUUGGUUGCUGAGUUUCAUCUAAAUAUUCUACAUUAAUACCAACCAGAAGCAGUUGAACUUCUCAAGAUGGUACAAAGGUGAUGAAUAUAAUAACAAUGUGUUGACGACGGGUUCCAUGAAUAUGUAUUUCGUAGGAUUGGUUUUGCUAUUUAGAAAGGGCUUGCAUCGUAGUUUGUAGCGUGUUGUCAACUUGUUUGUUGAGAGAAAAGAGAAUGCAGCCAAUGAUCACUUCCAAAAUAGACUCACCAUCCAAAAGGAUCACCUGCAAAAAAUUACAUAAGUUAAUAGAAGUUAAACUCAUCCAUAGAAUUGUAUACCUAGUAAAUAAGUUGCAUUGAUCUAAAUGAAAUAGAAAGCACCUGAAGACUGUUCAGCCUUUCCUCAGCCUGUCAGAAGAUUAGAGAGACAUGAAAAAUACAGGUAAAAAACUUCUCCAAAAAUUUUGGAAGAUCCAAAACAAACUUCAAUACCCAGCGAGGCUAUAUGCAGUCAAUUGUACUAAAUUUUAUGGAAAUAUAUUAAUAAGAGAAAAAAAUACAUGCCUGAGCAGAGUACAUUGUCAGGUAACAGUUCUACUCAUGGGGACAUACCCCCAUUUUACAAUUUUAGAAAGUAACACUCAAAUUUCCCCUUGCAGCCCCAUAAAACAGUCAUACAUACAACUGUGGAAAACAACACUAAAAAAAGCUUAUAAAGAACUACCCAAGUCACCUGCCAAAAAAACUACACUACUGAUUGUGGUACUACUGUUUUGCUCUCCCAAAACAGUUUCGCUGAAGACUGAAAAAUUGCUGCACUUUGUUUUGCUGACACAUCUUGUUUUGGAGCUUCCACACCAUUGCUAUACCACCAUACCUUCAGAAGUUCAGACAUCAGCCCUGCAUAAACUAUUUCAUUUGUGCUUUAAAGCCAUGAAUAUCUGCCAGUUUCAAUUGUUCGUAUUUAUGUUCGCAUAAGGCUAUGGUUUGGAUUUCGUUGGGCCAUUGAUCAACUGCUUGCGUAUAAAGUACCUGAUAACCAUAUACAGUACAUUAACAUGAACAUAAAAAGUACAGGAAAUUUACGUAACAUCAAAUUUAUAUAGUGAUAAUUUUGUUACUGAUCACAUUUCCUCCAAAAUAAUAAAUUAUAAAACUCAAGAAAACUUAAUCAAUAGUUAAUUCGCAAAUAGAAUUGUACCGAAUGAAAAAAAAUUAUUGCAGUACAUGGGUACUGAAAUUCAAAAACCCUUAAAAGACAUCCUAAAAGUUGAAAACUUGAAUAAUGAUAAAUUUAAAAGUACUACUUUGAAACUUUCAUCCAUAGACCGUUCUUGUGAAGCCAUUAGUUUAAUGAACAUAAACGGCACCUGCACCAAUUAGUUUUUGAAUUGAGAGAAAUAGUUGUUGAACAAAUCCUAAUUUGAGUUGUGAUGAUGUUGAAGAGAAGAGAGGAGAAAAGAAAAUUUCAGAAUUUAAUUAGCAAUCAUUUGAGAUAAUCAAGCACAACAAAAUUGCAAACAAAAAUAUAUUAGUAGAGCAAAUCAGAAAUUAAACGAAGACAAUUCCAGAAGUGACGCCUUACAACAGGGAAUAUAUACAUCUUUACAAUCAUAGUCUAGUGGAAGUGAAGAAUUCACCUUAGUUAAUGGAGAAGGAAGAAACUUAUUGGUGCAGUUGUUGACAGAGAAAUGCACCUUAAACCAUUCUCUAUUGUUUCUUUGGAAUAACACAAUAAAGAGCCCAUAGACUGCAUAUAUCGAUAUUGUGGAUAAAACCUAGACAAAUGGAUAAGCAGAACCAUCCAAUGUGUUCUUCAUCUUGUUUUGUUCUUUCCUCGGAAGAUCUCAAUUAACCUAUACAUUUGGUCCAUUAAAUGAAUUUAUUAGUUAAUUCUUAGUCAACCUUUUUGUUACUGCAUUUAGAUCAUAUUAUUCAUGUAAGAUAGUAAAAUAAAAAAAAUAGAAAAACAAACCAACCUCUUCUUGUUUCCAUUCAGGGAGUAAGUAUCACCUGCACUGAACAGUGCUUGAAAAGGCGGCAAGUCUCCUCAUCAUCUGUUACCAUGAGUCCAUCCUAUAUAGCAAGAAACUCUUUAAACAAUUUAAAAAAAAGCGUCUAUAGGUUAGUGCUUGGUAGAGAACUUUAAUUUGAAAAACGGGUUGACAACAUGGAAAGCAUCAAUUAAGCAAAACUUCAUGAAGCAGCAUUUGAGAUUUUAGCAUUUUUUUUGUUGAAAGAAAAAGGUAAAGAAAUUGAAGAAAGGCGUUUCACACUACGUUAUCAGCCUAUGACACUAUAAACUCAUCUUCUUUAGUAGGGUAACUAUAACUGCUACAACUAAGACUCUUCAAUGUGGUCAGGCGGAUUGCAAUUUUAUCUUCCUAAGAUGAAUAAAUCUUAAGAAAUGAAAAACCUUUUAUUCACCUUGAAAAAUGAUGGUCAAACCAUUUCCUCAUAUUGCUUACGAAUCAAGGCGAUCCUAGGUGCAAAUAAAUCAAAUGCAAGUGACAAUCAAACCAUCAUAACCUACGAAAAAUAGGAAUUGUAUUAAGAAUAAAAACCAGCAACAAAACCAAGUGUAUUUUAAGCUCUGGUACAUGCGAAUGGAACAGAAGCGAACAAACCUUAGAGAUAUAAAUUUUAAAAGAAAAAAGAUAAAGAAAAAACCAAAAGAUGACACUGUGUAGUUUGGCAGUGUUAAAUGAAAUAGAAGAAACCAUAUGACCGCAUAUUCAGCCUACACGAUCGACAUAAAUUUGACUAUUAUUUGCCCAUGCACGAAUUUAUGGCGGACUUGGGAAUUUACAUGUUGGCAUAUGACAGAGCUGGUAUGGAGAGAGUGAUCCAAACCCAAAGUUCUCAGUGUCAAGAGCUUGCUGACCUUUUAUAUACCAGUAACUGCAGUUUGGUAAUAGGUAUGCAUAUCUCAAUGAGUUUAGAACAACAUAAUUCCUUUCGUAAGCUUUGUGCUUCCUAUCAUCAUGGUCCUAAAGAGACUUCCAACUUGUGUUGACUUUUGAGGUUAAUUACCUAUCAUACCCAACACAGGCAUCUCCAGUGGGAGACCUAAGUAUCUUCUGCGAUGGCUUCCCUAGAAAAAAAAAAUAGUUAUAUCACAUUACGCGAUCUCAUUCAUAUAAAGAUAAUAUUAUAUAUCAUAGUAUAUAUAAUUAUACACUUACUGUUCUCUUGUUACGCGUACUCAUGAACAUCCAUUGUUAGAAGAAUUGUCUUGACACUUUUGUCCUUUUCCUUUUCCAGUGUUCAUGCCUGAAAUGAAAACCUUUAAUGUAGAAUUAAUUCCAAUAUCCAUUGUUAGAAAAGCAAUAGAUGCAUGUGAUGUGUGUUACACCUACAGAAGAUCCCUUUUCAUGCAUUAUAAUGUAAAUAAAGCCUUAUGCCAACAAUUAAUCCAAAUAAAAAUAAAAUAAAAUAAAUAAUAUGUGUAGUAUCAAAUUUUCUAUUCAACUAUACUACGUGUAAUUCCAUCACUGGAGAAUGGAGUUAGAAAAUGAUAUCUAACUGAAGUAAGUCCUUACAUAAACCAAAAAAAUUAAAAAAUGGGCAUACCUCAUUGAGCAAGUUUAUUGUUAUAAUGGGGCAGGUUCUUAGUUUCCUAUGAAUAAUAGUACGAAAUCAACCCUGUAACAACAAAAACAUAAUCUUUAUGAAAACGUAGAUAAACAUAACAUUCUCAAAAUAGUAGAUGAAAGUAUAAGAGUAACAUUCCCAAAGUAAUACUGUCACUUUUGGUGUUCUAGGAAAACAACAAAAUCUACUAAUCAAGAGAGUCUAAGAGAGUAUAUAGAGUAAUACUGUCAGUAUUGAGUAGAUGGAAUGACCAUUAUGGUUGCAUUUAUAAAACUAAACUGUCUAGAUAUGAGUCAGAGUCAUAUGGAUCAAUAAUGGUCAGUCAAGGCACAAUUCAUAUAUUUUACAGUAAGGUGGUAUUUGGUUCCCCAUGUUGAUAUGUGAAACCUGGUUGAAAUUUACUGUAAAAUUCACAGUAGGGUUCUUAAAACACAAUACAAAGUUGUCGCAGACUGCCCAAAAUAUAUAAUAAAUUCGCAGAUUAAGAUAUGAUGACAUGGAAUUCUGAUUUGUCGCACAAUCAAUGAAUGGUUUUGAUGUUGGAUCUGUUAAACUUAAAUGACAACUUGGUUCGGGAAUGCAAUGAAUGCAUUAUCAAUAAAGAGUUUGAUAUUGCAUACAGUCUGAGGACCACAAUCUGUUUCGGUAUCACACACCCGAAAUGGAUUCACGUUGAAUAUUAUCGACACUUCUAGGCUUAUAGAGAGGGGAUAUGUUAAUGAUCAGGCUCUUUAGAUAAUAUAGCCAUUAGUACCCUUUGUACAUCUGUUUUGAUAGGAUAAUAAUUCAGGCACAAUGUUACAGGCAUAUUUUUAGGAAGGUAACUUUAGUACCCUUUUGUACAAUAUAAUGAUUGUUAAUGUCGAAAUUGCGUAAUAUAUUUGGUCUUUGUAGUGAUCUUAUGAUUCUUCACCAAUGGAGGUCCAAGCUUUAUUGUUCAAAGUUAUCUAGCCUUAUAAAAGGUCUCUUCGACUGGUUUUUAUGGUGUUGAGUUUAAUAAAAGCAGGAACUGUGUGGGUGGAACAAAUCCCCAUUAUUGCUUGAUUUUUCUUCGUGAAUGAUGUGCUUAUAGUAUAAGACGAAUCUAUGCAAGGACAGUUAGGUGACCACAGUUUGAAAUCUAUUUGGUGUGAAUGUUCCAGCUUCAAUAAAGAAAAGAAACAACCUUUAUAUUAUGAUUUCUAUGCUAUUUAAGGAAGUUCAAAACUAAGUCGAUAUUGAUAGUUUUCAAAUAUUGGUGAAAUAUAGGUGUAUUUCAGAGGAUAUGAAAUUUUAUAUAACUAUUAGUUCCUUCUGGCAUUAUUUCACAUUGUAUGAGAUGGGGUAAACAAAAUUGAAAUUCCAAAUAAAAAAAACAACUUAAUUGGUUGAUGUAUAAAAUUCAGAAGAAAAAUUCAGAUUGUUAUUACAGUUGAAUACGAAGGACGUUCUUAAAAUGGUUGAUAGUAAGUGAUCAAUCGAUUGGUGAAGAAUAUGAAGAGAGAGAGAGAGAGAGAGAGAGAGAGAGAGAGAGAGAGAGAGUUUUAAGUUCAGAAGAUUGAGAAAGACAGAGAUACGAUAUGUAAACAGGGAAGAGAUACGUAUGACUAAUUUCUCUUCGUAGCAAUCAUGAAACGGAUAUAGAAGAGCUCAAUAUAUAAUCCCCUGUGUCAAGUAUUGCAUAUGUUUUAACUGCUGGUGUACCUAUAUAGAAUUCCAUGAUAUACUCGCCAUCUGGUGGCAAUGGUACAGUUUCAAUAGAUCGAGUUAGGUGAAGCUUUAUUAGAUGACGUCGCUUGGAGAAUGAGAUAUAAUUCACAGCAGGCUGCUGCCCAUAAAAACCCCACACUGUCGGACGUCCGCAGUGGCUAAGUGGGGACAAUAUCGGUGGUGAUAUAGGUCGGGUCGCUACAACAGUAGCCCUUUUCAAAUGGCAUGAUGAUUGACGGACAUAUAUUUAUGCAUACUACUGAGGAAACACAAUUAGAGUAGCAAUUUUCAAUAGAUAAAUGACAGAACAUUCUGCAAGGACAUCAACCACAGGGUCUCACUCCAGGUUUGAAGAAUCAUUUGGGUUUAGUUGCAGUCACCUACUUACCUAAGAAAACUAACUAAAGAUAUUUUGAGAAAGCUCAUCAUUCAGUAGUCCUGGUUAUAUUGUACUAUCAAACCUAAAAUUUUCUAUUCACAUUCUCAAUAUGCUUUACCAAACAUAUGACAUUCAGUAAGCCCCAGCAUUCAUCAUUGACAAACUGAAGCCUGACCAAUUCCAAAGAUGUUAAAAAUGAUAAGAUUACAUAUCGAUUGGUAAUUUGUAGACUGCUUAAUUUAUGUGAUUUAUUGGAAUAGUAAAGGAGGUCAGUCAUGCCAAGAUAGAAUGAUUAGAAUGUAGAGUAAUCUAUGUUUAGUAUGAUUACCUACCUAAAAAAUAUAUAUAAAUAACGAUUUUAUAUAUAUGGGAUGACAAUUGGUACGCCAUUUUUAUUGAUAUUGUUGAUGUUAGAUUCAUGGGGUUAAGAGUGUGUUUUAAUCUGUAAUAGGCCAGGAGUUAUAGCUGGUAAGGCUGCUGGAAUGUCAGUGAUUGCUGUGCCGUCUCUUCCAAACCAGUCUGAGCUUUCCACUUCUGCCGAUGAGGUGAUCAACUCUUUACUUGAUCUGCAGCCUGAAAAGUGGGGGCUGCCACCAUUUCUAGAUUGUAUACCCCUCAAACCAUCAUUUCCUUUUUUUAAAAAAAAAUUAUAUUAGAAAUAAUUUUGGAUAAUCACCCUGAUUCACUUGUUGAUAUGAUAUUGCAGGGAUAGAAGGUACUUUACCAAUUGAACCAUGGUAUAUAUGGAGGCCCUGUUAUCAAGGGUUUUGGUCGUGGCUCCAAGGUACUUGGGAUACCUACAGGUGUGUACCAACUAUCAACAUGAAAGGCCCAUGCGGCUGCGACCUUUUGUUCACUGAGCUUGCUUAAGUGAUCCUUAAACUAUAUGUUCUAAUACUAUUGACCUAUAAAAAAUAGUUGCCUGUUUGUGACAUAGAUUUCAAUCAUCAGUUUGUUUGAUGCUCUUACUUGAAAGACCUUUAUCUUUCAUCCAUAUCUAUAUGCAUCUUAUAUUUUCUGAGGGAUGCUCCAUACUUGACUGGCUCGUUGGCUGGGCUAGACUGUCAACACGAGGAGUUUAUAAAAUGGUCAUGAGUAUUGGUUGGAACCAUACUUCCACAACACCGAAAAGACCAUAGUGCGUAUUAAGUACACUUUUUUUCUAUUUUCAGUAUUUUAGAGGGAGUAUAUUUCUUCUAUAUGCCAUUUUGGGCAUUGUGUAUUCUUUCGCAUCUUAAGAGGGUUUUUUUGUUUCAUUCAGGAGCCUUGGUUACUUCAUGAUUUCAGUGAGGAUUUCUAUGGUGAGGAGCUACAUCUUGCUAUUGUUGGUUAUAUACGACCAGAGGUAGAUUAGCAUAUACUGUACUUGAGUUGAUCACUUCAAAGUUCUUACAUCCUCUUAUUUAUCUGACUGCUUUUGUUUAAUUGAGCAGGGCAAUUUUCCAUCCUUGGAGAGCCUGAUAUCAAAAAUUUACGAAGAUCGAAAAAUUGCGGAGAAUGCUCUUGAUCUUCCUUUGUAUGUGCGCCACAAGGAUGCUCCAUACUUGACUGGCUCGUUGCAGCCAAAGGAGCAUGAUUAGGAAAACCUAGUGGUAUGAUGAUAGGUGGAAGCGAAGGGAUCAAAAUGAUGGUUGUUUAUGUAAUCUUUGUAUUAUUCUUUCUCUUCAUCUAAUUUCCAUGAGGUGAUUACAAUUAAAAAACAACAAACGAUUAUUUGUUACAGUGAAAUUUGAGAAGAGAAGAGAAAGACAGAAGUUGGGGAAGAGAAAGAUGGGGACGGGGAUGAAGAUUGGGGUUUUAAUCUUAGUCACACUAAUUAUUAAUCCUAGUCACAUUAAUUUAAUCCUAAUCACACUAAAUAUUAAUCCUAGUCAUACAAAUUUAAUCCUAGUCAUAGAAAUUAGUCCUAGUCAAAUUAUGCACCCUUUGUAGAUUAUAAAUAUAGAUAUAGAUAUCCAAAACAUAUUUCUGAAAUCUGAACCAAUUAAACAAAAAACAGAUAUAGUAAUUAAUAACCUAAUUAAUAAUACUAAUAAUCUUGGGCCUGAUGGGCUGCCCUAUGUUCUUCAAAUUCAUCUUUUCCAAGUUGUGCUCCGCAGACUUCGCAAAUUAUAUCUUCUUGUUCUGGGCCUCGUUCUCCAGAUUCUUCUUGUUCUAGGCCUUCUUCUUCUUCUUCAGAUUUCUCUUGUUCUGGGCCUUUCUCUUCAAUCUCCUCUUCUUGGGCUUCUUCUUGGUCCACACUUAGAGCACCAAAGUGGUUUUCAAUCACUUCAAUUUCUCCAUCAUAUAGUAUUCCAUCAGCACCAUCAUUUCAUCACGAUCAUCACCGUUCAUCACAACAAAUAUCCAUUCAUCCUUUUCAUCCCCACCACCACCAUUCAUCAUCAGCAUCAACAACAUCAUGAUCAUCAUCUUUCACUCUUUGUAUCUCCCCAUACCACUUAAAUUUCAUUAUAUAUAUAUAUAGAGAGAGAGAGAGAGAGAGUUUUGUAUGAACAAAUACUACUUAACAAUAUCUAUGUUGGUAGGCUAAGCCGCCCAAUAUAUUUGAGCUGUGGGAAAAUUUUAAAUUUCUUGUAACAUGGAUCACAACAAUUCUUAAUAAUGUCAGUUCCAUAAGUACGACGCGCCUGGCCACAGCUUGAUCGUCUAUGUAUUGUCUAUUUGUCUACAGCUCAAACGAAGUUGUGUAUACAUUUCUUAUUGAUCGAGCUAUUAAAUAACGAAAAUUUGCGGGCGAAUAAUAAGAUUUCGGUGCGCACCCUCACCAAAAAUCCGGGCUACGCUACUGCACUCUACAAAGUUUUUGUCCAUGUGCAAUAAACGGGUUCCUUUCUCAGUUCUCUGCCCAAGUCUAGCAAAUAACGCCUCCAGUAUCCUUCACAACUUUGCAUUUAGUUUACAGAUAUACUCUCAUGUCAUGAGUGAUUCUGUUGAGCACAAUCUCCUUGGUUUGCUCUGCAUUUCUGAAUCUUGUAUGAUUCUGUCCAUUGGAUCAAAUGGAGUUCAGAUUGUGAUGGGCUUUUAACUGUUUGAAAACUUUACAAUGGGCUUUAGCACAAUUGUUUCAAUUGAAGACUUGUUGAAGUUCCAAACCCUUAGCACUUAGCACUAGCAGCAACACUGAACAAUGAAUGUCAUCUGUCAAAGGUACUAUAGUACAACAAUGUUUUAGGAAGAAAAUGAUCAGAACCAGAACAUAAAUUUUACGAUCUCAGAUCGAUAGAGGCAGAAACUGGACACAUGAGAUUGUGAUGCAUAACGUUACAAUGCCUUAUGAAGUGGGCAAGAUCAUCAAUUUCCCACUUGCAUGCCAACCCCAAAAGCCAAGAGAACAAAAUUUGUUCAUUAUCUUGUUUUCUUCAUCUUUGAUCUUGAUAAUCCAUCAUUCUUUUGCCCAAUAGUAACCAUGCAUAAAAUUUACGACAAUAAUACAGCGGGCAUAUAUGGUGCAAGUUCACAACGGGCAACCCCCAUAGGUUUAAGGACAGAUAGUGAUGAUUGAGCAUGCCGACAUCCAAACAAGGAGCAACAAGAUAAUGUUUAUGAUCGAGCUCCUGGAGAGGUUUUGUUCUAUACUGCUUAAAGAAGUACUACUGAUGCUUAAUAUGCAUUUAUUUUCAAUAAUGUUUAAGGAAAAAUUUAAAUUUCUUGUAACAUGGAUCACAAAACAAAUUGGUUCAUAUUAAUUGCUCAGUACAAAUUCAUUCAAAGAAGGCAACCCUGCUCAGUAUAUAUACAUUCUUAAUAAUGUAGAUCGUCUACGUACAUAUACGAUCCGAUCGUCUUGGGUAUAUAGAUCCAUAUGCCAAAUUACGAUAUGAACAUGCAUGUGGUGACAGCAAUGAAACACAUGGCAUGAUCAAGAAAGAAAGACCCUUUUCCUUGGCCCUGCAUUGUCGAACGAACAAACACAAACUAUGUAUAAAAAUUGAUUUGGACCAUAUAUAACAAUAGCUAGCAUAUGGAAUUCAUAAUCUAAUUACCAUUUAAAGGAUAAAAUGUGACCAGUAAACUAAUAACUAAAUCACUUGUAGUUGAAUAAAGAUUACUUAAUCUGGAUAUAGAUUCAAACCAUAUCAAUUAAAUUUCGCCCCCCUCGUCCGCAGUGACAGUAGGGUUGCUUUGGUUGCUCAGUCUCAGUGUCAUCAGUGGUCCUAGAAAUGAAUAAUGACAAAACCCUCUUACCCCUGAAAUAAGCUGAUGUGGAAAAACUGUGUUUUCUAGCCAUUAAAACCAAUCUCUCAUAGAUCUUUUUCAUAGACCCCAUUAUAACCACAGUUUCAUUGCACUUCCAAAAAAACCCUAAAAACAGCUUUUUUCUUUCUUGCUUUCCUCAACACAAACUCUCUCUCUCUUUCUUUCUCUCUUUUAACUCUCAUUUAAAUAGUGCAUAAGUUGCUGGCUUUGGUUUGGGGAUACUUUAUAUAAGUCUAGAUAACAAGAGAGAAAGAUAACAAAAGUUCCUACUUUCAUUUUCUUGUUUGGUUUCUUAGCACAAGACACAAGUCUCUUAUCUUUUUAGUUAGCUAAGCUAGUGUGUGUGUGUGUUUUUUUUUCUUUUCUUGAAUAUUUUUGGAGAAGAAAGAGUAGUAGAUCGAGCUUAAUUAUAGAAGAAGAUAAUAUGUCAAGCUGCACAAAUGUUCCUUCUGAGCAAGUCUGCUAUAUCCCUUGCAACUUUUGCAAUAUUAUUCUUGCGGUAUACAUGAAUAAUCAUCUUUCUUGUUUCUAUUUUGAAUCUUAGAUCUAUCAAUAUAUAUAUGUUUUUGUUAUUAUUUUUAUUUUUCUCAAUUAUCUUGUUGUUAGAGCUAGUCAGGUCUCCAUCUUGAGACUAUCUUUUUCUUCAUAUUUUGCUUUCAAGGACAAGUCAUACCUGGAUUGACAGAUCAGUGUGCUAGAGACUACUCAUGAUUUAGUCAUUACAACAAUAUUAUUAUUGUACCCAGAGACCAGAGAGAUCAGAGCAGAAAAAGAUAAUUAGAAUUGUUUGUUGUUAAAAUCUUGGUGAUCAGAUCAUAACAACUCUCAUAUUGAUCGAGAUGAGGGUGUCUUCAUAUCUUGGGAAUCAAAGUGAUCUAUUUUUGCUUGUAAUUUUCAUCCACUUAAGAUCAUAAGAUAUGCUUAUCUUCUUAAUAUUUCAUUUCCCCAGAAAUUAAAGAGUUUUCUUCUUAUCUUCUGCUAACCAUCUAGGUAUUCUUUUCUAUUUUUUUUUUUUUUUUUUCAAUUUCAAAAUAAAGAUCUUUGUAUAACUGGGAAAAUGAUUCCACUGAGAUUCUCAAAUUUUUUUUUUUUUUUUUUUUGUUUUAAAUCAAAAGGGUGUGUAAUUAUAUUGAUUCUAAGUAAAAAAAUGGAAUGUUUAACCCCAACCCUGAUCUAGGGUUUCUUCUUCUUUCUGGUUCAUGAACAUUGUUCUUGGGGUAAUUUGUAAGUUUGUUUGGUUAAUGUUGUGCAGGUGAGUGUUCCAUGCAGCAGCUUAUUUGACAUAGUAACCGUACGAUGUGGGCAUUGCACCAAUCUCUGGUCCGUGAACAUGGCAGCCGCUUUGCAGUCUCUCUCUUGGCAAGAUCUCCAGGUAUGUUAUACUUUAAAAACUAGCUAUAUAGCUAGCUAGAGAAUCUCCAUCUCAUUAAAUUAAAACAACUACAUACUACUAUUUCUCCAUAGCUUCUGAAAACUAGGUUUUCUUUUCUUUAUAGCUCAAAUCAAAGUCAACUCUGAUCUUCAAUUCAAUCACUUUAUACAAGUUGAUUUCUCUUCUAAACCAACACUGUAGACUGUAACAGCCGCCAUAAUCUCCUUCACCUCUCCAUAACCUAUUUUUGCUUUUAGUAGACCUGUCUGUUUGUUUUUGUUUACACCUUAGCUUUGCUUUAUACAACUGUCAUUCAGGUUUCUUUUCAAAAAGAUAACUGUUUCAGUCACCUCACAAGUCACAACCCUUUCUCUCUUUGGACUUUGGAGUUUGGAAUAUACCCUUUAAGUCUAAGAUUUACUUUUAUAUGUUGUUCAUGUUGGUUAUUUUCAGACACAAAGCUUCCCUUUACAAGAUCACAAGAUUGAUCAUCAAUUGGGUUCUACUUCUUCAAAAUGCAACAAGAUCUCAAUGCUUUCAUCUGCUACUAACAAUGAAGAAAGGAUCAUUCACCGUCGUGAGUUUUCGAUCUUCUUAUAUACAUAAUAUGAUCUUACUUAUUUGUUAAGAUUACAUGAUGUAUCUUAGAUAUCAUCUUCAUCAAACAAUGAUUAAUGUUCAUAUCUGUCUCAAUGCAGCUCCUGAGAAGAGGCAAAGGGUGCCUUCUGCAUAUAACCAGUUUAUAAAGUAAUAGAACAGUGAAAUAUAUAUCUCUUCUUCAACUUUUUCUUUCUUUAGAAGUUAAUGUUAAGUGUUAUAAAACUAAUGUUUACUAAUGUGGAGUGCAGAGAGGAAAUUCAAAGAAUCAAGGCUAAUAACCCAGAUAUCAGUCAUAGGGAGGCAUUCAGUACUGCAGCAAAAAAUGUAAGUGGAUGAUUACCUAAAAAAAAAUAAAAAAUUUCUUUCUAGUUUAAGCUGAAAUUGAACUUGUUCUGACAAGUACAUAUUUUUUUCAUAGUGGGCACAUUUCCCCCAUAUUCAAUUCGGGUUGAUGUUAGAAGCCAACAACCAGGCCAAGAUGAAUGAGGUAAAUAAUUAACAUACAAAGAAAUUUUGGUAUCACUUAAUUAGUACAUAUCUUUCAUGUGAUCAUCUUCAUACCAUUUUAAUUCCUUUUCUUGUUACUAAUCAUGAAGUCUGGUCUACACUUGUAGGUUGGCCUUGUUUGCUAAAUAUAUAUCAAUGGAGUAGUUAUAUAUGUAAUGAAUUCAAAGACUUUAUUCAUAGUCAGAGAUUUGGCAACUUUUUCUUUCUAUUUGUCCUGAAAUCUUAACUUCUUUAGGUUCCAUAGUACAAUCAAACUUUAUGAAUGUUGUAAACAGUUUUUUGGUACAUCCCAAUGAGCUAAUGUUGUUACACUUGAUAUGUGCAGGGUGCUGAGAAACAUCUAAUGACAACAGCUGCACUAUUUAAUAACUGAUGAAGGCAUGAAGCCUUGAAUUGAUCAUGAACACAAACCUUGUUUUCUUCCAUGUUCUGUUUUUUAAUGCCUUGAAAGAACUUGACUCCAGCUUUUAUCUUAUUGUUCUUCAAGUAGACUCUAGUACAUGUUAUUUGUUGUUCAUCUCAAGUAAAUUGGAACUCUAGCUUUUUCACACAUUUUGGAAUUAUAUGCCAAUCAUCCUUGUCUUCAAACUUAAAUUUAAGUCAUAUUGGAAAUUUUGUGCUCAUAAAAGGAGUACCAUGGAAGUUUUUACGUACUAUAAAGAAUAAUGAGAAAUGGCAGUGGGGGUGAUGAGAUUAUAUAUCUAUAUAGAUUGAAUUGCAUUUUAAGCAAACAAGCUUGAAUAUGUAUAUCACAUAAAAUUUUGAAUGAUUCAAGCUUAUAAGGUCCUUUUCACAUCUGAAAAAAAAAAUUCAAUAAAUCAAGCUGUGGGGUCUAAUAAGAAGUUUGUGAAGCCUGUAUGAAGCACAUAUAUCUACAGAAUCUAAGCAUUAUCUGUGAUCAUUUUUCUAGGUUGGGUUGGUAGUAUGGUAUGUCCUUUUGAAUCUUGGUUAGAUCUGUGAGUGAUUUAUAACUUUUGUCAGAUCUUUAAUAUUGUGUGGUUGAAGGGAAAAGAAGGCAAGGUCCUUUUAGAUAAGUGCAAUAAUAGUAGCUACUGCAACUUGUUUCUUAUGAUCCUUAGAAAGUCUGUUAUGCUGGUUUCUAGUAUUGUAUACAACAAGAAUGCCACGUAAGAAUCGACGAUUAUAUACCCUGAGAUGACCGGCGUUACACAAACCUUUUGGUAUGAUCUUCCAUUGUGUUUUCUAUGUGGGCUCCAAAUGUACCUCAUACAACUUAGUGAGGGGUUCAUGGUUACUAACAAAACGAACAUUUUUCUGUUGCUAGUCUCAUCUAGUAAACAUUUGGAUGGAAUGAAUGUUUCGGCACAUGUUUUGUCAUCUAAUAAUAAUGAUUUAACCAUAUAUGUAUAUGUUCUCUAUCUGCAUGUUAUGCAGGUUUUGAUGAUCACACAAAUAAACAAUCGUUUGCUAUUACUAGGCUAAUCGGGGUUUGUUUGUUUUUUUAUUUAUUAUGAUAUUGAUGUUAGAAAACUUGUUUUUAUUUCUUUUUCUUGUUAAGCUGCACUCCCUUAUCACACAUUUCAAAUAUUUGUCUAUUGGUACAAUUUGCAUCAAUUUUAUUUAAUUUGCAUUUCAGUACUUAUAAAUACAUAAACUUAAAAAGUUCGACAAACAACCAAAUUACUAUAUUACUAUGGAACAUAUAGUCGGUAUAUGAUAUGUUAAUUUAAUGAUAAAAAAAUUUACGUAUUUUCUUCCUUAUACAAUUUGUAAUAUUGGAGGGAACCAAAGAGUGAAGGUGAUACAGAAAUAUGGUUAUCUGCUAACAUACGUCUGGAAAUAGAGUAGGCUUUAGUUUGUUGCUAAUGGUCAGAGUAACUGGGCUUUAGUUUCUUGCUAAUAGUUAAACUAAAGGAAUAACAGGUUAGAUUUAGGGGUAGAUUGUAAUCACCUAAUUAUUCAUAUUAGACACAAAUUGUUUCAUUUUUCACAAUUGAACACAUUCUAUCUCAAAACUAUAUAUUUGUGAUAUUUACCUUCUACAUAUUCACAAUAGACUUUGGAACAUUGGCAAUUUAAUUGUUUAUAUAUGCCGAUCCUUAGAAAACUUUUAACCGUACAAUUAAGAUAUUAAGGGAUUUUUUUUCCAGCUAUGUAAAACCUACACUGACCGAAUUUCCCCACAAACCCCACCAACAAACUGAUGUGGCAGAUGAUGUGUUAUCUCCACGUCAGCAUAAGUUGACCAAUUCAACUUUUUUCUCUCUCUUCUUUUAAUAUUUUUUUCCUAUCUUCUUCUUCCCUAAUUUUAGCAAAGAAAAACCCAAAAAUAAAAUUCUUCAAACUUCUUCUAUUUAAAGCUUGUUUUAGAAAUGAAAUGAUAAACAAAAAUUAAAAAAACAAUCUAGAAAAAAACCCAAAUUGUAUAACAAAAAUUGAAUUUUGAAUCAUUUGAUUCAAGUAAAAACAGAUUCAUUCAAGUACAACAAACUCCUCUUUAUUUAUAAAGAUGAAAGAUUUAAAAUUGGUGCGCAUAAAUUUUAAUUUCAAUCAAUAACUUAUUUAUUUUGAAUUCUAAAUUAAUGGUGAAGUUAGAUACCCAGUUUAAAUGGAGGAAUGGAGAAAGAAGAGAACAAUAGAGGAAAGGAGAGAGAGAAUUAUUUGAUGAUGUGGACUAGCCACGUCAGUUUGUAGAAGUUGUUUGUGGGCAAAGUUUAUAAACGUAUAAUUAUUCAAAAAAAUAAAAUUAAUUCCUCCUCAUUCCAUGGUCACUGGAUGAGGAAUUGGAUCUAGGAAGUAAAAAAAAAAAGAUUUGUUGUAGUAAGCCUGUUUUUAAAUUUCAAAUAGGUUGUCCAAGGGUGAUGGGACACCGACACUAUAUGGGCUAACUCUGAAAAACAAAGAAUUUGCAAAGUGUCAAUCCCAUCAGGUCAUCAUGUUCUGUUUUGGACACCUAAUUUGUUCAUACAUUUUCUGAUUGAGAAAGUCAGUUAAACUUUUGCUCUAAAAUUGUGAGAACCCAAAAGAGAAGAAACUGGCAACUCUGAAAAGAAAGCAGUACUAGUAGAGUAGCAGUCAGAUACCAUUGGAUUUUGGAAUCUAUCUAUCUCCCUUUGUUUUUUCUUCUUUGUCACUCUGUAAAUCUCUCUCCAGUCUCAAUGUACAAUGUACAGUAUAUAUCAUUAUAUCAAGGCCUGGAAAUUAAAUAACUUUUGCUUAGACUUGAAUUUUUAUUUGGGUUGGGUUGGGUGCUACUGCUGGCCCAAGUGUAUGUAUUGGGUUUUCAAUUAGGCCAGGUUUUGCUCUUCUUUUUGCCUGAAAUCAAUCAAGAAGACCAAUGUGAUGUCAAGUCUGGCAACUGGCAAGGCCUCAAAAAUCAUUAAUGUGCUUGUUAAUAAAGUUAAUCUAUCUGUGCAUAAGUGCAUUCCUACCUUCUCAAUUCUCAUAUGCUAUAUCCCUUAAUCACCAUUGGACAACCUUAAUUAAUCUUUAUUCCCACAAAAAAUUCUAAUCUAGUUGUAUCAGUCUUAUCUGGUGGCCGCAAGGAUUUAAUAUCAUUUAUGUGACCAUGUCUUCUUCUAUUGAUGUUGAGCUCAUGUUUUGUUUCAAUGCAUUUCAUAUAAUUUGGUUGAUGUUCUCAUGUUUUGUGUCAGCUAACUUGGCUACUAAAGUUGUUAAAUGUUAAUUCAUUAAUCUACCUUAACAAUACCACAAACAUAUUUGAUUUUCUUUAAGAUUAUUUAUAGACUAUUAAUUGGCUUAGCAAUGGUUUCGCCCAUGGACAUUGCGUGCGUUCAUAUAAUAGUGAUUAGUCUAACCCUAACCUAAUAUUGGUAAAAUGGCAUUAGCAAUUUAGCAUUGGCGUGUAGUACUUAACAUGAUAUCUGUGCUAUUAAUUAGGUUUCUUUUAAUCUUAAUCAAUUAAGUUAUUUAGUUGUCAAGAUGAUUAGAUAACAUUAAUCUAAUUCAAAGUAUAUCACCACCAUCACAUUGUGGAACAAUAGACCACAAUCACUUUCAAGGUUGCUUGUGAGUUGUGACAUUAAAUAGGAAUAAGCUGAAGUUGUUUCUUUCGAUUUCCAGAUCUUCAAUAUACUAAGAUUGCAUUCCUCAUAGGAUAGUAACCAAUGUAUAGGUCUUACUUAACCUGGACAACUUGCAUGGAUUUGAAUUUUGUGUAGUCGAUCACCUUGCCCUAUGGCCUAUUCCAUGGAAUUAUGUUAUUGACAUUCUGUGUUUACGUGAAGGCAACAUAGAUACUCCAUUGGGGAAUCAAGACUUUGAUGUAGAAUCUGCAAAAGUACUUGAAUUGGUUAAAGUCAUAACCACUAUACAUGUUCAAUCUGAGGAGGCAGAUUAAGCAUUUAGCAUUACUGCAUUAGUGUUCUGUGAUAUAUAUGAUUACAAGUUGAGACCUCUUUGUUGAAAAUCAGAUGUACCUUAUCCUAUAUUUUAAGUGAAGUUGCAUACACGUACUUAUUUUUUUUUCAUCAUCUAGUUCCUAUUUGUUUUUGUUGACCAAUUGGCUGAACAUUUAGCUUCUUUUGCUGUUAGGUUUACAACAUAGCUAGAUCAAUGGAACAAUAUAUAAUGUGAAAUCAUUGAAUUCUAACCUUUACUUGUUGAUUGAAAUCACUUAGAGAGAGCAGAUAUGUUGAAUGUUAAUAGCAACCAAGGCAGUCAUAUAUUUGUCAACAACAGAACGUACACGUAUUUGUAAGUCAGUUCUACGACAAUGGAAACAUUUUAGAGGUUCAAGCAUUCUACCAAUAAGAAUGGAAUUUCCAUCAAAUGGACUUGAAUGAUCAUAUCAAAUGAAACUUGAAUUUAUAUUUGGAGAUCAUCACAAUAAAUUUGCACAUGGCACAUACUUGUAUCAAAUUCUAUAAGAUAUUCUAUGGUGCUAUGGUGCUGCAGGCAUGCCCUUUAAUAAUAAAUACCACAACAAUAGUAUAUAAGUUCUGUCAACCUAGUGCAACGGUGUGGAAUAAAGUUGGAUAGUGUACUGCAGUAAUAUUAUCUUUUUGUUAAUAAAGCAAUAGUUCAAACAUAGUGCCAAUAGUUUGAUAAUUUGGGUUUUUUUCUUCAUAGUAUAUGGUAAUUCAUGGUUCAAUCCAAUUCAAAUGGUUUGAUCUAACACAUCCAAAAAUGUGCUAUUUUUUAUUUCCACUCAAAUCCAAGUUGGUAAUAAGAUGAAUAAAUUAAAGAAAUGAAAUACAUCAUAGCUACGUUCACUACCACAUAAAUCAAAAGAAAAUUUUGAUUUUGUGAUUCUUUAAUGGGUUAACCAGCCAUUUUAAACCUUUUUAUGUUGACUUGUAAACAUAAGCUUUUUGACUAAUCAAAAGAAAACAAAAGUAAAGGUAUUGCUAACCAUGUAAGUUAUGUCGAUCCAUGGUCAUAGUUACUUUGUCAACAACCUCUCCAAUUUGUAGGGUAGUUCUCAACCUUUUCUACCACUUCAUGCAGAUGAAAUAGACUCUUUAAGACUCUUGGUUUCAGAUUAAGUGCCAAAACUAAAAGACAUACAGUACAUUUUAUUGGUAUAUUAUUACAAGAUUAAAAUAAAGAUUAUUGAAAUUUUGUCAAAAUUAUAUAUCUCGUUUGAAGAUUAUUGAAAUUAUUAGUAUCUAUUAACAGAAGAUCAAAUGGAUGUGCUCGGAGAAUAUUUAGGAUUCGACCUAUAUAUCAAACAGUCUGAAAUUUGGAUGCUUGAAAUCCUUGAGAAUAAAGAAUCAUGUGUAGGACUAUUAUUGGAACAGUGGUAUAAUUUCUUUCUCGGAAGAACAAAUGAUGCCGAUAAUGGUACCAUAAAUCUAGUACUUUUAAAUUUGUUAAGGUCAGCAUGUUAGAAUAAUUAAUCACAUUUUAGUGAUGUUAACUACAGCUUUAUAACCUAAAAUUUACAAAGCCAACUCAUAAAAUGCUGGCAUUAUCCAAUAGAUUGGAUUACUUAAUGUACCCAUGUUAGAAAAACCAUCCCAAAUAAUAUUAUAGUUUCAUCAUCGCCCCAACUCUGCAUUUUCUUAAGCAGACAAGUAAAAUAAACAUAUGAUUUGUUUGUUUAUUUGCUUUGUAUAUAAGAGAGAGAUCCAAUAAUCACCAAUAUCAAUGUACAGUUAACUAAUUCCAACGACUUACUUGUCUUGGAUUAAGUGUUUGUUAAUUCUCAUUGCUGUUAUUAAGGAAGAGUAUAAAGCAGAAUGACAGGAAAAUGAUAAGCAAGUCUCAAUAUGUACCCUUGUAAUGGGCACAUAGUAUGAACUGGCAAGAUGUUUGACCAACCUAUAUGAUCAAACCAUCCAAUAAAAAGACUUGGGAGUUAGAUUAUGGAGGCAAAAUGCCCUUUCAAAAAGACUCGUGAAGGUUGAAUGUUUAAAAAGCUAGACUUGGAAAAAGAAGGGUGGGAAAAAGACUUAUAAAGGGGAAAAAAAAGGAAAGACCAUCCUAGUGUUUCAUUGGAUGUUCUAACCUUUCAAUGAUGCAUAAGCUAAAGAAAAUUUUGUAUAUGAUGAUCUGCAUGUGUAUUUUUAAUGCAAUUUUUCAAUGAUAAGAAGACCCAAAAGCUUAAUGUCUUGCAAAACUGAUGUGGUGAAAGAAAUGUGAAGUUUUAUUGGCUUUCUUAAAUGUGAUAUUUACCUGCUAUAAACAUUAAUUGAAGGGUUAACUGCUCCCUGGGAUUGAAACAUUUCAACAAAACAUACCCCCAAAACCAACUUUUUUCUUUCUAAGAAAUCUGUUUAAGCAAAGCUAAGACAACAGUAUAAAGAGCAAGAAGCUUGUUCAAUGGAAAACUAAUAUACAUUAUUUUAAAAACAAUGGUGUCCACAUGGUAUGAGAUCAUCCAUUUCGUUUGUCUAAAUGCUGAGCAAAUAUUGCAUAGGCCGAUGCAUUCAUUCCAAUAAAAUUUUAUUAAAAAUACAUACAAAUGUUAUUUGGGAUGUUAAAAUUUGAAGGCCACAACUUGACUACUUCCUCAAAAAUAUUUCAAUGAUACUUUUGUAAAAAAUAUAUAUAUAUAUAUAUAUAUUACAAAUGUUGCAAAUUCAUGAAUGGAACAGCUGACAAACUUAGUGUGUGAAGGUAAAAUGAUGUACUGUAAAAGGAUUUCAAAUAUAUUCAACCACUUCAAGAGCAAAGUUAUCAUCCAAUUGAUACAAUGUUAAAUAAAAUAAGUAGGAAGAAAAAUGGCAAUGUUAAUAAUAAAAAACUAAUCAUAUCUAUGUUUUGAAGAAUUCUUACUUAGGUAGGUAGUUUUGUUUAAUCAAAAUUUUAAUAUGAAUUUUGGAUUAAUAAACCUUAGGGUGCCAGUGUGCCACUGCCAACAAAGCUUACAACAAAUACACUAACAUAAUACCAAGAAGGGAGAUACAACAAAUGUAUGUAUUUUGAAGCCUAUUCUUCUAUUGGGUAUAUUGAUAAAAAUUCUUUGCUUUUCUAUAAAAAAAAAUACAACAAAUGUAUCAUUUUUCUUGAAGGUUGGGAAUCUUGCAAAAUCAAAUUUGCAAAUCUUCCAGAAGUAUGUUUGUGAAAAUCAAUGAAGAAGGCACAUGGUGUUGUCAAAUGUUUUCCAGCACUUUGGAGUGCUAGUCUGCUGCUGGCUGCUGCUGCUGCAGAAUAAGUGAAACCAUCAAGUCAAGGCAUCAAGGAGGGGUAGAGAAGUGAAUUUACAUGAAGUAUAGUAAGUAGGUCCUACACUUGAUGACUUGAAUACAAUACAAUAGGCUAAAAACUCCCAAACCAGUCUGGUACAGGUGGUUGAGAACUUGAGAAAGCUUGACUCUUACCUUGCUUUUAUCCCAACAUGGCCAUAAAUCUCCCAACAGCAUUCAUUUCAACCUCAUCUAACUUUCUAUAUAAUAAUAUUAAUCAUUAUAUUUAGAAGGAUCCAAAAUCAAGAUUUGGAAGUUUAUAAUCUUUUUCUUUCCAGAUAAUAAUAAGCAGUCUGGUUAGUUUACAUGGUGGUGAAGAAGCUUAUUAGAACAAUAAAAACCCACUACUACUUCAGAAUUCAGAUCUUCCCCACCUUUUUCUUUUUCUUGAUGUGACACUACAAUUGAAUCCAAAUCAAACCUAUGAUUCUAUGUGUUUUAGACUUAAUUACCCAUCUUUGGAAAUCCACUUGUUUCUUCAAACAGAAUCAAGAAACAGGUGAGUGAGUUCAUGGUUUUUGUACUUCUUUGUAUAGGAUUCCUUUUCAUGGUUUAGAUGAAGAGAACCAAUUCAAUUAUUUGUCAGUUUGAAUCCUAGGGGUGUUUAUUAUGUUUGGUGUGGACUAGUAAAGAGUUGAUAUUGCAUGAUUUAGUACUUUCUUUCAGCUUGUCCUUUUUAGUACUUAAUUACUUUUGUGGUUUAGAUAUGAGUUUAUCUUCAUUUUAGACUUGGAAGUCUUUCAAAUCCUAAAUCUGUGUAGCCUGAUUGAAUUCAGGUUCUUGGUGUGGGUAUAUAUCAAUGGGAACUUGGGUUUCUUUUGGUUCUGUUGUGCUGUUUUUUUCAUGGUUUUUCAUUUUAUCCGAUACUUGUUUCGGUACAACUCGAAAUAUUGGACAGAUUCAUCCAGGGUUCAAAGGUUCUCAGAUGAAUUGGGUUGAUAAUGCUGGGUUGUUUCUCUUAUCAAACAAUUCAAAUUUCGGUUUCGGAUUCGACACAACUACAGAUGUCACAUUGUUUUUGUUAGCUGUUGUUCAUAUGGGAAGUUCAAAAGUAGUCUGGACUGCAAAUAGAGACUCCCUUGUCCGAAAUUCUGAUAAUUUUGUGUUUGAUGACAAUGGGAAUAUCCAUUUGGAAAGUGGGCAACGCAUUGUUUGGUCGACAAACACCACAGGCAAAGGAGCAACUGCCUUGGAGUUACAGAAUUCAGGAAAUUUGGUUUUGCUUGGAAGCGAUCGGACUAUACUAUGGCAGAGUUUUAGUCAUCCAACAGACACCCUUUUAUCUGGUCAGGAUUUUGUAGAAGGUAUGAGACUUGUUAGCAACCCCAGCUCGAAUAAUUUGAGCUAUCAUCUUAAAAUUGAGUCUGGGAAUAUGCUUCUGUAUGUAAACUUUCCAACCCCACAACCAUACUGGUCUAUGGGAACCGAGAGCCGAAGAACAAUCAUCAAAGUAGGUGAUGAUGUCUCCUCUGCAUCGUUGGAUUCUAAUUCUUGGAAAAUCUUUGAUCAAAGACAAGGUCUACUAUGGCAAUUCAUCUUCUCAAGGAACUCUAAUCCUAAUGUCACAUGGGCUGCAAUUUUAGGCACUGACGGAGUGAUUUCAUUCUACAAUCUCCAGAGUACAGGAUCAGCUGUAGAGCAAACAAAGAUACCUCAAGAUGCAUGCAGCACACCUGAAUCCUGUGGUUCUUAUUAUGUCUGUUACGGUGAAAACCGGUGUCAAUGCCCUUCGGUUCUUAGUUCCAGAAAUUGUGCGCCAGGGUUUGCCUCUCCAUGUAAUAACUCAAAGGCCCCAAUGCAACUUGUAGAUGUUGGAGAUAAAGUCAAUUAUUUCGCACUCGGGUUUGUUUCACCAUUUUCCAAAUCUGAUCUAGAUGGUUGCAAGAAUGCAUGCCUUCAAAACUGCUCUUGUGUUGUGUUGUUCUUCGAAACAAGUUCUCGGAGUUGUUAUCUUUUUGAUCAGCUAGGAAGUUUGAAACAGAGCGACCAAAACUCUGCUGGGUUUGUUUCAUACAUUAAGGUCUCAGGUAAUGGAGACCCUGGGGGGAACUCUUCUGGGAAAGGAGGUGGUGGUGGCCAAAAGAACACUCAAAUUGUUAUUAUCAUAGUUGUUGUUACAAUUGCAGUUAUUGUGGGUCUACUUUAUUUAGGAUUUCGUUACCACAAGAAGAAGAAAAUGGUGCCGGAGUUUCCUGAUGAUAUGUCAGAAGAGGAUAAUUUCUUGGAGAACCUAACUGGAAUGCCUAUCCGGUUCAGUUACAAGGAGCUUGAAGAUGCCACGGACAAUUUUGUUGUGAAGCUUGGUCAGGGUGGUUUUGGAUCUGUAUACAAAGGAAAGCUUAAAGAUGGAACUGAAAUAGCUGUGAAGCAAUUGGAAGGUAUCGGUCAAGGUAAGAAAGAAUUUCGAGCUGAAGUGAGCAUCAUUGGAAGCAUCCACCAUACCCAUCUAGUCAAACUCAGAGGGUUCUGCGCAGAGGGGUCUCACCGGCUUCUUGCAUACGAGUACAUGGCUAAUGGUUCUAUGGAUAAAUGGAUUUUCAAGGCAAACAAAGAAGGUGUCAAAUUAGACUGGGCGACAAGAUACAGUAUCGCCGUGGGGACAGCUAAAGGGUUGGCUUAUCUUCAUGAAGACUGUGAUGUGAAGAUUGUACACUGCGAUAUAAAGCCUGAGAAUGUUCUCCUUGAUGAACAUUUCCAUGCCAAGGUCUCGGACUUUGGACUAGCUAAGUUGAUGACCAGGGAACAGAGCCACGUUUUUACAACGCUGAGGGGUACAAGAGGAUACUUAGCACCUGAAUGGAUCACAAACUACGCCAUAUCGGAAAAGAGCGAUGUCUACAGUUAUGGUAUGGUUUUGCUUGAGCUUAUUGGAGGAAGGAAGAACUUUGAUCAUUCGGAGACUUCGGAAAGAGCUCAUUUUCCUACGUAUGCCUUAAAGAUGGCAGAAGAAAAGAAACUGAAAGAGAUCCUCGAUCCAAAUAUAAAGAUUGUUGAAGAAGAUGAGAGUGUGUACACAGCAAUUCAAGUUGCCUUGUGGUGUAUACAGGAGGACAUGUAUUUGAGACCAUCCAUGAGUAGAGUAGUGCAAAUGCUUGAAGGUAUUUGUGCUGUGCCUGAGCCUCCAACCUCUUCUCAAAUGGGUUCCCGCCUUUACUCGAGUUUCUUCAAAUCAGUAAGUGAUGGUACUACUUCAUCGGGACAUGGUACCACUUCAUCAGGACUCUCGGAUUACAACAGCAAUGCGUAUCUUUCAGCUGUUCGGCUAUCAGGACCAAGAUAACAGAGGCUAGUUACAGCAGAUUGAGAUAUACUCAAUAGUGUUUUGAGUUUUAAAGAAUGAGCUCCAUCUAUAGAGGUUCCAUGUUUUUGCCUCCUUUGUACAUUGUUUAUAUUCAUAUUGAUAUAAAAGCUCCAAGUUUAUAGUACUAGCUGUUGCAAUAUCUUAAUCUUUUGAUCUAUGCUUUUCUCCAAUUAUCUAUUCUGUACGGCUGUGUUUGAUUGCAACUUUAAAAAAUAGAAUGCACACUAUAGUGGGAAAAUUUGGCCAUGGAGGUUAUCAUAGCAGCUGUAGGAGUUGGACGAUGAACUGUAUCCUCUGUGAUUUAGUUGAGGCAGGUUUUAUCGUCCCACUCCUACAGCUCAUAAAACCUGCACCACCACCAGCAAGAUAACCUUCCCCAGCACCACCGAGAAAUCCUGCUCCAGCAGCACCAUGAGAGCUACCUUUAUAACCUUUACGUCCAUUUUAUUUAGAGCUACCUUUACCACCACGAGCUGCACCACUGCCACGACCACCUCCAAUAGAACCACCAUCCACUGCUGCCAUGAAAGCUACCUCCGACCGCCACGUGAGGCACUGCCACCUCCACCUGACCUACUACUACUAGUAUGCCAAAAAAAUAAAAGUUCAUCAUUCUUUUGGUAUAGCAUUAGAGAUGUUCCUACAACAGCACACUGUUCUUUUAAGUUAAUGCCUCCUCAAUAGCUGCUGCCAUGCCCGAACGCCAACAUUCUUUUGGGCGCCAACAUUCUUUCAAUGGCUCAUUCAAUGGCAGUCUGGCCAUGGCCAUGGCCGAGUACUCCCAACUACUGAAUAGGAGUUGGAUGGCUCGGUGGCCUAGUCUAUGUGACAUCUCGUCUUAUCUAAGGAAAAAAUAAAAAAAAAGGCUUUGGGAUGUAAUCCAACCCAACAAAUGAGAGACAAAGUACUUAACGCUUACCCCAAGCGUUUUGAAGGACUCCAGGUACUCAGGUUGCUUCAUACGCAGCUCAUGAUUUUCGUUGCCUACUUCCUUCUGUCAAUCAUGCUGAAUUUCCACAGAUCACUUGGUAAUGCCAUCUUGAGAGGCAUCCGGUCACAUACACAAAAGCUCAUUCACCAAUAAUCUCCACAAGAACACAUUUUUUUUUUAUUUUUUUUUUAAUCUCCACAAGAACACGCUCAGCUCCUUCCUUGAAAUGGUGAAACCUACGAGCGUCUCUAACAACAAUCUCCCUAUUUGUAACCUUAGAGAUGAACUUUGUAGCAGUAUGAUAAUCACCACAAACUCUAAGGUUCUUCAUGAUUCGAAUGACACCUGUUGGACCUGAAUUUAACAGUCCAAAAACAAUAGCUAGCUUCUCACUAUGCAAAUAUAGCAUUUUGUCCUUUAUUUCUUCCUCCACAUUGUAAGUACCAAGCCGGGCCAGGUGUAGCACUUGAAGCAUAGGAGUUAGGUAGGGAAAGCAAACCGGGAAGUACCCAAUCAAAGUGUAGAACAUUCUAGGGCAUCACGCGAAAAGCACGUGAUGCCUGGCUGUCAAGCAUUCACCCUAUAGUAUGUGGUGAAGAAUGAAACACGUAAGAGAAGGGAGAACCAUCAGAUACAAAGGGGAUCCUACGGUUAAAGGAAGGCGGUGGAUAUUACUAUAAAAGGAUCAUGGUAGGGUUCACUAAAGGUAACUGUUCAUUCUUUGCUAAAACCUAUUCUCUAAACCUAGCCGCUUACUGACUUGAUCGUUGGAGCUUUAUCCACCGGUCAUUGUCCGGUGGUCAUUGCAGGUACUACCAUUGAAGCAGUUGAAGGACCCAGCUAAGCUCAUCAAGGAAAGUGGGCUUACACACAUCAUGCAAAGUGAAGUUCGUAUCUGGAACAUAGCCGGCUUUUCGAAUCCUAUCCAUUAACUCUUUGUAGAUCAACUCUGUUUGUGGAUUUGAUCUGUCCCCAACCACAAAGGUAUAUAUUUUAUUCUUGACUUCUAUGACAGUAUGACCAGCAGUUUUUCUCAAUUUUAUAUGCUUCAUUAGACCUCUAAUCAGAUCCGCUUCUUCUCUUUUGCCUAAAGACAUAUAAACAGUUCAAACAGAGAUUUUGCGGCCAAUUCAGCAAACUUAACAUUUGAAUGUAUCCUGCAGGCUCCCAAUAGAGAACCCCAAACACCAGAGUCUGGCUUCAUUGGCAUCUUUUUAAUUAGCUCCAUAGCUUCUUUCAACCUCCCAGCUCGGCCCAGCAGAUCAACCAUACACGCAUAGUGCUCUGACCUUGGAGUCAAUCCAAAUUCUCUAGUCAUAGAACUAAAGCACCUCCACCCUUCAUCCAUCAAGCCGAAAGGACAGAUAUAAAUGUAAUACGAUCUGGCUGCACAAAACCUUUCAUCCGAUCAAAUAGAUUGAGUGCUACUAUUCCUCGCCCAUGCAUUCCAUAUCCCGAUAUCAUGGUGCUCCAUGAAACAACAUUUCUAUAGCUCAUCUUGUCGAAAAUCGUCCGAGCAUAUUCCAAACUUCCACUUUUGAGUUUUGACAUAAAGGUCAAUUAAGGCAGUGUCUAGCAUUAAUUCACACUGGUAUAAGCUUCGAAUUACAUAACCAUUGUAUAUACCCAUUACCGAGUUCUACCACUCGGAAUACCAAAUACCGACUUCACUCAUUUCGCCCGACCUCGUAUUUACUUACACUUCACUCAUCUCCACUCAAAUCCUAAUCUCACUAACUCGGUAUACUGAACACCGACCUUGCACUUAUUUCAUCCGACUUCGUAUAAAACCACAUUUCACUCAUUUCUGUUUAAAUCCUAAUCUCAUAAAAUAUCCGAGCACAUCCGACUUGGGGCUAUCUCACUCUGAACACCGAGUUCCAUAUAUUCAAACUCCAAAUCCUAUGUCAGUUACGGAUCUCUCUCAUUGAAUCCCUGAAUAUCCGCAUAUUUUAUGAUUCGAACGUUGAGUCAUUAAUUCGAUCCACACCCUAAGCCACCUAUAUAAGGAACUACGUUUGGCUUGAUUCUGGAUCGCCCCUUCCAGAUACGUAGGCAGCUGUCAACGCUCAGAUAGUUCAGCCACUCUCAAUCACUCAAAACCUUCCUUUCUCCGAUCAUCUUUUCCAAUUCUCCGGCAUAGAACUUCUACUACAUUUACAUUGGCGCCGACUGACUGUGAACGAAUCAUAACCUGACGAAGACCAUGGCUGGAAUCACACAAGAGCAAUUUGAGACCUUCCAACGACAACUUACUGAACAACAGGAGCAGAUCAACAAGUUGCUAGCUGAAAACGCUCAACUGAAAAGCCCUACCAUCCCUCCGGCAGCUGGCCAAGCAACUGAUGAAAUCAACACCAACAAUCCCAUUGUCAUACCAACUUCCAGCAACACCACUGCCCCCACCAUGGCUGAAAUGCAAGAAACCCACAACCGCCUCCUACAACUUUCAGCCCAGCUUCAUAAGAACAACCAGGAAUCGGGUAAGGCCAAUAUUGCUCAAAAGGUGGCCAACACCACCUUAGAAAAAUAUAGGACAGAGCCCUUACACGAUGACCUCCUUCAUCAAGAACCACCCCCACACUUCAUUCCCCCUAAGUUCACAACCUAUGAUGGAAGUGGUGACCCCAUGGACCAUGUCCUACAGUUUAAAACCAGCAUGGCACUGUGGCCCAAGUACAAGGACAUCUUCUGCAGACUAUUUUCUGCCUCACUCCGAGGUAGUGCUAUCGACUGGUACCACCGACUCCCAGAACGAUCAAUCACGUCGUACGACCAGCUUGAGGCACUCUUUGUCACCCAAUACAUCCACAAUAAGCGGCGAAAAAUUGAGGUAACCGCAUUAUUCCGACUUAAGCAGGGUGACACCGAAACAACCAAAAAAUUCAUGGCUCGCUUUAAGAAGGAGUGCCUCAAGGCAGAUAGCCCAGAUGAGAACGCAUGCCUGUUAGCGUUCAUCUCGGCCGUUCACCCCGAAACCGCCUUGGGGAAAAAUAUCAUCCUCGACGCACCACAGACACUGGAAGACCUGUAUGUCCGGGCCGAUAAGUACAUCAAACUUGAAGAGGCACUGGCAAAAACAAGAGAACAUGUCUCGGCCGUACAGACGGUUAAGACCAAAAAUCCCAAGCCGAAAACAACAAAGGGUACCUCCCGAGGAAAGCAAUCGAACAGCUCGGUGAAACACAAGUUUCCUAACCCGUUCAAAUGUUCAUAUACGCAGCUGUAUGAACUAAUCAAAGAAGAAGAUUACUUCAAGCCAACAAUUCAUGAGCUUGAACCCAUAGAAGAAAAUCCAUACUGCAAGUUACACAAUUGCCGACAUCAUGCAACAGAAGAUUGUCGGUAUCUCCGAACUUAUUGCCACAAGCUCAGGAUGGAUUGACACUUGAAUGACUUCUUGGCAGAGGAGUCCGAUGACCUCCGCCAGAAGAUUACUGAUAAGCGCAAAAGAACAGACAACGCCUCUAAGGCAAAAGGAACGAUAAACAUGAUCAUGGAUACUCGUCCGCCUGAAUGGACAUCCCGAGCUAAGCGACAGAAAGUGAAUCAUAUUCACCAUAUAUUUCAGCUCACUCAUCAGGCAGUGAUAGCCAAGCAGGUGCAAGGAAAGAAUGCACUGAUCUUUUUUGACCACGACUUGAAGAAGGUAUGCUUGCCACACAAUGAUGCACUAGUUGUCCAUAUCCGACUUGGUGGAUGGACCACUAAGAGAGUGCUAAUAGACCCAGGGAGCUCUUGUGAUGUAUUGUUUAAUAAGGCUUUCGCUCAAAUGCUCAUGCCCGACUCGGUCUUACAGACCCCCAAUGUCACACUCUUUGCUUUCAACUCGACAGAGACAACGGCAAAGGGCCAGCUUACCCUCCCUGUCGCUACAGGAGAGGAUGAGGAUGAGGUUACAGUUGAAUGCCUCUUUUAUGUCCUCGAUGUUCCGACGCAGUUCAAUGUUAUCCUGGGUCGAAAAUGGAUUCACAAGAUGGGAGCUGUUCCGUCUACAUACCACCAGGUCAUCAAAUUCCCUGGAUCUAAUGGUAUAAUGGAACUCCGGGGUGACCAAAUUGAGGCGCAUGGCUGCCACGCCAUUCCUGAGGUCAUACCCCUCCCCAACAAGGAAACAACAAAGGUGACAGUCGUUAGCCCUGACAAGCUCACUGUCAACCAGAUAUCUGAAGCCACUGAUGGCAUGGCCACUACUCAACCAGAUAUCUGAAGCCACUGAUGGCAUGGCCACUACUGAGCCGACCUCUGAAGCCCCUGAUGGCAAGGUCGGUACUGAGCCAAAUUCUGAAGCCCCUGACGGCAUGGCUACUACUGAGCCGAUCUCUGAAGCCCCUGACGGCAAGGUCGGUACUGAGCCAAUUUCUGAAGCCCCUGACGGCAAGGCCAUUUCUGAGCCACUCACUAAUGCCUCUGAAGGCAAGCUUGUCACCGACUCCCCAACCAUCGAGAAGGGUGAGCCAGUCAACAUAGGCACGGAAGCCGAACCUAGAGUUGUAUAUGUAGGAGCUAAUCUAGAUCCUAUUGUAAAAAAGCAACUCGUUGCAACUUUGAAAAUGAAUAAGAAUAUUUUUGCUUGGUCGUAUAUUGACAUGCCCGGAAUAGAUAUUAAUAUUGCAUGCCAUAAACUCCAUGUCGAUCCAACAAAAAAACCAGUAAAACAAAAGGCACGGAAAUUGGCCCCCUGCUUAGCUAAGGCGGUCAAUACCGAGGUCCAGAAACUAAUUGACGCUAAAUUCAUACGAGAAGUCAAGUAUCCUGACUGGCUCUCGAACAUAGUAGCCGUCGUGAAACCAAACGGCAAAAUUCGAGUAUGCAUAGACUUCACAGAUCUAAAUAAGGCAUGCCCAAAGGAUAGCUUUCCACUACCAAGGAUAGACCAACUAGUGGACGCUACCGCUGGCCACGAACUCCUCUCGAUGAUGGACGGCUACUCAGGGUAUAACCAAAUUAAGCUCGCAGAAGAAGAUCAGGAAAAAACAGCAUUCAUCACGGAAAGAGGCACUUAUUGCUAUACGGUCAUGCCCUUUGGGCUACGCAAUGCCGGGGCUACAUAUCAACGACUCGCGACACGAAUGUUCGAGGAUAUGAUAGGUGACACCAUAGAGGUAUACGUAGAUGAUAUGAUAGUUAAAAGUAAACUCAAAUCAUCUCACAUAUCCGACCUGGAAAAGACCUUCAAAAGGCUCCACGACUUCAACAUGAAGCUAAACCCACAAAAAUGCCUAUUUGGAGUAGCAUCAGGAAAGUUUUUAGGCUAUCUAAUCACGCAACGAGGAAUAGAGGCUAAUCCCGAGAAAAUCAGGGCAAUAUUGGACAUGCCGAGUCCCUUAACGAAGAAGCAAGUCCAAAAGUUAAACGGAAUGCUAGCUGCACUAAACAGGUUCAUUGCUCGUGCAUCCGACAAGCAAAGACCAUUGCUACAGCUACUCAAGAAAGGUUCCAAAUACGAGUGGACGACAGAAUGCCAGUAGGCAUUCGACGAACUAAAGCUUUACUUGGCAACCCCGCCAGUCAUAACAGUACCCCAGCCAGGGGACGUACUCGGAUUGUACCUAGGCAGCUCCGAACAUGCAAUCAGCGCUGUCCUCUUCAGAGAUGAACAAGGUAACGAACGACCCAUUUAUUUCAUUAGUAAAACUCUGCUACAAUCCGAACUCAGGUACUCUAGUCUCGAGAAAGUAGGACUAGCCCUAUUAUUCGCCUCUAGGAAGCUGAAACCAUACUUUCAGUCGCACAAGAUUAGAGUUAUAACUGAUGCCCCAUUGAGGCAAGUGUUGGAAAAUAGGAACAAAUCAAGUCGAAUGGCUAAAUGGGCCCAGGAGCUGGGGGAUCACGAACUCAUUUUUACGCCCCGAAAUAGCAAGAAAGGCCAGGUCGUCGCCGACCUGCUUGUUGACUAUCCAAUCGAAGAUAUCACCUGGAUACCCGAAGAAGAACCGCGGGACGAUUUCCCACAAGGAGAACCCAUGUGGAAGUUAUAUGUAGACGGAUCAAAAAAUAAUAACGGAGUCGGGAUAGGUAUAACACUCAUAUCUCCCGAGAAGGUAAUAAUCGAGAAGUCAAUACGUCUGAACUUCACCUCUUCGAAUAACGAUGCGGAAUACGAGGCCCUCGUAAUGGGCUUACGUAUGGCAAAAGACAUUGACUUGCAAAAAAUCAAGAUUUAUAGUGAUUCUCAAUUAGUGGUAAGUCAAUUACUGGGGGAUUACGAAACAAGAGAAGAAACACUCAAGUUAUAUCUCCAAUACACGAAAUGCUUGCUAAGCAGUUUUGAGAAAUGGGAAAUCCAACAUAUUCCCCGGGACGAAAACCGCCACGCAGAUAGUCUCGCCUACCUGGCAUCCCAAGUCGACACGGAAAACGCUAGGGAAAUACAGGUCGAAAUAAGAAGCACUCCAGCAUACGAAGAUAAAAUCCAUCACGUCAAUACAAUCUCAGACUUCAUCGACAUAUCUGAACAAGAAAUCCAGGAUUCGUGGAUGGGCCCGAUAAUGAACUACAUCAAGGGAGUCUAUCCAGACGACGAGUCGGAAAUCAGAAAGCUAGAACGAAAAACUAAGAGUUACUUGAUCUUAGAUGGAAGGCUAUACCGGAAAUAGGUCCGAGGACCUUACCUCAGAUGCUUACCUCCUAGACAAGCUCAGAUGAUCCUAGCAGAAAUUCACCAGGGACAAUGUGGAAACCAUGCCGGGGCUCGUUCCCUAGCACAGAAAGCAAGAAAUCAAGGAUACUUCUGGCCCUACAUGCAGGCCGACUCAGAGAUCUUUAUGCAACAUUGCGACAAAUGUCAACGAUUCUCUCCUCUACAAAAUCAACCCCCGAGAGAUCUCAAGACGAUAUCCAGCCCAUGGCCAUUUGCCAUGUGGGGGCUCGAUAUUGUAGGACCGAUUUCGAGGGAUAGGAGUAAGAAACGAUAUCUCUUAGUUGCCACAGAUUACUUUACUAAAUGGGUAGAGGCAAUUCCACUUCGAAAAAUUAGACAACAAGAGGUCAAGAAUUUCAUUUGGAAAUACAUAAUCACUCGAUUUGGCCUACCACACACAUUGGUCACUGAUAAUGGCCAACAAUUUUUUGGUAAUACGAUUAAGGAGUUUUACUCGGAUUGGCGAAUCAAUCACGCACUAUCUACACCAAGAUACGCACAAAGUAACGGCCAGGCUGAAGCCACUAACAAGACAAUAAUGAAUACGCUCAAGAAAAAGUUAGAGGCGGAAAAAGAUAAGUGGAUACAGGAGCUAGAUAGAGUCCUAUGGGCCUACAGAACGACUCCACGCACCUCAACAGGCGUCUCACCAUUCGCAUUAUGCUACGGUACUGAAGCUGUUAUACCCACCGAGUUAACUUACUUAACAACUAGGUCGGAAUUGGUAGAAUCAGAGGAAAACGAAAAUCUCCUCGCACAUGAGGUGGACAUGUUGGAAGAAAGGCGAGAUAAGGCUAUCAUACAAACAGCUCAUUACCAGCAAAUACUAAGGAGGAGCUACAAUCAAAGAGUAAGGCCAAGGACUUUCCGACCAGGAGACUUGGUCUUAAGACAAACCUUUCAGAACACCAAGGUCGCGGGUGAUGGAAAAUUCAACCCCAAUUGGGAAGGACCCUACAUUAUUCAAUCCGACUUGGGUAAUGGAGCAUACAGAUUAAUUGAUCAUGAAGGAAACUGAGUCGAUAGACCGUGGAAUGGAAAAUAUCUUAAGGCGUACAUUCCAUAGAAUACAAACUUCAAGCUAAGGCAUCAAUUCUACACUUAGAAUAUUUAAGGCAUGCAAAAGAUUACCUACAUGGAUAAAAUAACUUCUCCCAAAAUGAGGUAUAUAUUUAAACCAUUCACAUUCGAACAACCGACAAGAGUUGAGAGUAUACCACUUCAGUUUCUACAGCAUGAUACUUGUUUCAGAAAUGAACAAAAAACAAAAGCCUCACAUCUCUCAACAAAGAAAAAAGCUAGGCAACAGCCUCAUGAUCCAUGGCCUCAGCUCCUUCACCCUCCUGCACGCCGACCUCAUCAACCUGCGCACUAGCCUCGGCCACUUCAUCAUCACGCUCGAGUUCACUAGCCAGGUUAGCAACUCUCUCCAUCUCCACUUGUUGAUCCGAGUCGAACUGGGCUUGGGCUUCGGCAUUGAUCUGCUCAUUAUCGGCUAAGGGAUCAAAGUCGGGGAUGACUCCCUUAAGCUUCAGCUCACGACAGAUUCCACAUUGCUGCCAGUAAUAAGCCAUCUUCUGCCAAGCGGUGAUGCUCUCAACCGACCUAGCAUUGUCAGCCUCAUACCUCUCAUUUGUAGCUUUCAACUCGGCAUCAAGUGCGGCAUUCUUCUUGUUCACCUCCAACACUUCAUUGUUGACCUCCAACACUUCAUUGUUGAGGGCCCUCACUUUCUUCUCCUCCUUCUCUAGCCGAUCGCGCAGCUUCUUCAACUCGGCACGUUCGGCAGCGAGUGCCUCCUUAGCCUUCCUGGCCUCCCGUUCUUUCUCAUUAGCUCUCUCGAGCAGAGCCAUCCACUUGCAAUGGAUAAUGUUCAUCUGAAACGAGGGAUCACCCGAGAUUAGCCAAUGCAAGUAUCAGGGAAGGAAUAGAAAAAUCGAAUAGAAUGUACCUUGUACAUAGACGAGCUCAGAUCCUUCAAGUCGUCCAUGAUCGAACGCUCGCAUACCCGAGCCCCAUCAGCAUCUAAAGCCAUGUGUUCCAUCAGGGUGAUACACAUGUCUUCAUCCUCCCAAGCAGCAUCACUGGAUCUCACAUAAGUAUCCUUGUAAGGGAAUACAGGAGCAAAAUGACCAUCAGCAGGGCGAGUCGGAGGAACCUCAUCAUCUUGCUGGACCGACUUCCCUUUCUGCUGCUUCGCCUGCUGGGCACGAGCUCGCUGGGCCUCCCUCUCUUUCCCAGCUCUCUCAGCAUCGCUCAAGAUUGUUAUGCCAGGUGCAGCAACGGUUACACCAGCCGACUUGGAGCUCUUCCUCUUCUUCGAGGACUCCAGCUCGAUCUCCCCCCUACCGAACUGGCUACCUGGUGGACCAGGAAUGGGCUUUGGAGGCAUUGGUAGAGCGGCUCGGGUCACGAUAGGUGGAUCUCCGGGUCGAGGACAAGCAAUUGUGGCAACCGCCACAGCGGUAGGUAAGUCCUUCUUCUUUCUGACUGUCUUUACCUUCGAGACGGCUGGCUCGGUACGCGCACCACCAGCACCUCUUUUUGGACGGGGAUCCUUAAACAGAUGCGCAAGAUGUGGCAGGAUCGCACGCUUGCGUUCCCAAGACUCUUCUGCAAACUCGAUAAUGUUACCCGGAAGGAUGCGCCCGUCAAUCUUCUGAUUAUAAUCCCGAGUAUGAUCUACAGUACCUACCAAAAACGAGUCAGAGACCAUGGAGGAACACAGAAAUAAAGCAAGUGCAAAAUACAAAGCAAACGACCUAUAUACCUAUGCGGGGAAUGCGCAAGUGAUUCAGAUAUGCACUAGGCUUGAUGAACGACCCUCUAAUCCUAUAACAGGCCGACUUCUUCCAAUUAUCAUUGGAACUCGGUGCAUUGUAAAGGUCGUGAGGCCCAUGCUCAGCCCUCCUAUUAAGCGAAAAAGAAAAAUCACCAGACCGACCCUCCACACAGGUGAAAUAUGCUACGACGUCAGCCUUGCAUAUGUCAUAGCCGACCUUGUUCAGCUCCUCAAAUAUUAGCAUAACCCGCCAGAAGCUGCUGUUCAUCAUUAUCGGGGCUUUUUCAUAAUUAUUCAGGACGUCACAGACAAACUUCGAGAAGGGAAGUUGCAUCCCAACCCGCAGUUGACCCUCACAGAUCAAAGUCGAUGUGUCAUCCCCACCAAGAUCGAACAGCCUACUAUCUACCCUAUACAUCUCGAGAUCUCGAAUCCGGAUGUCGUAUGCUUCCCUAACCUUUGGAAAGGCUUUCCGAGCUCUAACGAUUUCUAUCUCAUGACGGCUAAUUAUGUCUUCCUCAUCUCCAGCUCGGCUAGUACUUGCCUCACCCUCACCACUAUUCUCACUAAUUCGCUCACUACCACUACUCAUCUUCCCCAAGUGAAAUGAAGAACAGAUGCAGAGCAACAAUGGCGGAAAGGAGUAAAUGGAACAGAAAAUCAAACAAAAGCGAUAAACAGAAGCAAAAACGCAAAUGCAAACACCAAAAUCAGGCUCAAGCAACAAAUUCCGGCAACGUGAACGGAAAAAACGACAACAAUUCAAGGAGAAUCAGGCAAAAAACUGAAAAAAGAGAGACAGAAAAUGAAGAAGAAGAAGAGAGAGUUACCUUCGAAAUAACUCAGCAGCGGCAGCUUUAAAACCUUUGCAAAAAACCCUUGGUUUCUUCCAGCAGUUACAAGCAACGUGUUUUAUAAAACCAUGUGCACAAUCUCAGCCGUACAUCUUCUCAACAAGCAACGGUCAGAUGCUAUUCCUCAAAUCCAACCGUUCAACCAUUCAAUCUCCCACCAAACCACGAUCGAUUUUUCAAAUUCAAAAUCAGCAAACAUCCUCCACGCGUACAGACAAAACACGUAUCUCAAGGAACAAUCAUGCCCUAAACCUCGAAACUAUAAGCUAGCAACCAAACCAGCACACAAUGGAAUAUUUGCCUCUUGGUGCUCCAUAAAGCUUAUCUUCACAGCCGACUCAAUUUUCAUUUACCCUAAAGGCAAUAACUUACCUUCAGCCCAAAUGAAAAGGGGCUAUGUAUAUACCCAUUACCGAGUUCUACCACUCGGAAUACCAAAUACCGACUUCACACUCAUUUCGCCCGACCUCGUAUUUACUUACACUUCACUCAUCUCCACUCAAAUCCUAAUCUCACUAACUCGGUAUACUGAACACCGACCUUGCACUUAUUUCAUCCGACUUCGUAUAAAACCACAUUUCACUCAUUUCUGUUCAAAUCCUAAUCUCAUAAAAUAUCCGAGCACAUCCGACUUGGGGCUAUCUCACUCUGAACACCGAGUUCCAUAUAUUCAAACUCCAAAUCCUAUGUCAGUUACGGAUCUCUCUCAUUGAAUCCCUGAAUAUCCGCAUAUUUUAUGAUUCGAACGUUGAGUCAUUAAUUCGAUCCACACCCUAAGCCACCUAUAUAAGGAACUACGUUUGGCUUGAUUCUGGAUCGCCCCUUCCAGAUACGUAGGCAGCUGUCAACGCUCAGAUAGUUCAGCCACUCUCAAUCACUCAAAACCUUUCUUUCUCCGAUCAUCUUUUCCAAUUCUCCGGCAUAGAACUUCUACUACAUUUACAACCAUGAAGAAAGGAUGCUAAAAGUGAGGAAGCACGAAUGACACUAAGGAUAGUAACAAAAUCGAACUGAAUUCUCUGUAAUUUCAUCUGCUUAAACAACUCUAAAGAUUCAAUAUACAAUUUAGCCUGCGCAUAAGCUUCAAUCAUGGAAGUCCAAACUACCUUAACUAACCAUUUCUCAUGUAUUUAAAGAAAGUAUGUUGUUUAAAUCCCAAUAAUUAAAUUAGAUGAUCCAAUCAGCUAUUAGGAGAACUAUGUUUUACCAUGACGAUAAUGGGGUGUAAAAUGAGUACAUUGUAUUAUGGAAAAAAAGAACUGAAAGCUAGACUAAAAGGCUAAGUGUCAUUUUGUACACAACAUGGGAAAUGAUAUAAAUGACUAUAACGACAUAUGAUAUGAUAUGAUGAGCAUAUUAUAUUUAUAUCACACAGAAAUACUAGCAUACUACAUAUCUGACUGAAUAUGCCUAUUGCAAGGGUAAAAUGCCCAUUAUUUAUCAUGCAACAGGAACCGUAUCCCCAUCAUGUUGCGUGAGUGUAGUGAUUAAAACACACAAAAUCUCAAUCUGUUGGCAUUGUUAUGAAGUAUGAACAUACAGCAGAACACAAAAAUAAUUCCUUGGAAUCAUAAAAUCACCCUAAUCCCUGUUAGUUUUGAAGUUAUCAUGAAAAGCCAAAGAUACACAUAUUUAUGGUUUUGAGAAACGGCAGUAUGAUCAGAACUUGCUACACAGUCACUAAAUUGUCAUAGUACUACAACUACAUACGUAGUACUUGGUGUGGCUCAGCUCUGCCAACAUUAUGGCUAGAUGUUCAAUUCCAGUUGCCUAACUGAUUAACUGAAAGAGAUGCACACAAGAUUAGUUCUAGAGGGCUGGUGCCUGGGUUGGCUAGAGAAAUUCCUGGUGAGCAGCAGAACUCUGUGGUGACUAUGAUCUCAAAUUUUCAGUAUGUUUUAACAGCUGAGCUCCAGUCCUGAAGAAAUGACAGAGGUUGAUACAUUCAACUCUGCACUACCAUCCUUAAUUACCUCAGGUGAGAUUAUAUCUAUGUUUCUUUUAAAUCAGCACUAAUGCCUCCAAUAAUGACUAGGUUGGUUUUAUCAUAAGGGUAAAAUUUUCUAGUUUUUCUAUACUGCAGUUUCUCAAAAAAGAUAGCAUUAUUUGUUUCAUGUGUUGUUUCAUUCUAGAACUCGACGACAUUGGCAGGAUUGAUUGGACAGAUUAAAGGCCUCUGAGUUAAUUCAGCAUGUUAAUUUUUGUUUGUAACACAAGAGCUUCAUACUCCCACUUCUAAAAGCCUUUAUUUCAUAAUUUCUGUCUUUCUUUGUUUGCGAUCUCAGCUCAGUUACAUAAAUUUUGCAAACUUUUGAAACAAUGAUUUAUAAGUAGGAUGAAUAUGGUGCAUCGAUCAGUGCAUGUGAGGUGAAAUUGUAGAGCGUAACCAUUAAUCUGAACAUCUAUCUUUACAAGGGUGUGUUAUGUAUGAUUGAAAAAGAUGUUGUGGUCAACAAGCUAAUAAAGAUGAAGUGAUGAACAAAUAAACAAAAGAGUCCUAAUACAGAUUGUUCAAAAAACUUUAACAAAGACCAAUAAUCAAAAGACCAAUUUAUAAAAAAAAAAAAAAAUAUAUGAACAAAAAAAAAAAACCCUAAACUGAUGGACAUGACACCACAAAAUCUAAAACUGAUAAAAGUUAAUUAGAAGGGUAUGGCGAGAACCAUAUUGGUGGUGGCAUAACAUAGUGAGUGCCACUUGGAUAUAGAAAUGUGUCUAUACUACCAUCUUCAAGAUGGAAAAUGCCCAUAUCAUGGCCUCCAAAAUUUCGUUUCGAGAAACGCCACCGGUUGUCAUCUGUAAAAUAGAUGCAGUUUGGCUUACAGCUAAAGAAAUCGUUGGAUAAUACAGAAAAGGAACUGUUGUAUCCCAAGAAUAGAGAGCGAUCUCCAAGGCUUUCAAUUUGUAUCCAAUUGUUGUUGGGUUUUGCAAAUUCCAACUUAAAAACUCUGAAUGCAACUGUCUUAUAAGGAUAACGCCGAUCGGCGCGCUUACUACCAUUAGCAUUUCCAAGAUAUCUAAGAACCACCAACAGAUCAUCUGACGAUUCUACUAUAUAGUAUUGACUAGCAUGCCGUACAGGAGGAUUAUCUAUAGUUCGUUCAACAGAUAUAACUGGUCGUUCUUGCUCUCCUUGUUCAUCAUCAUCAACUUGUGGAAGACCAUGGACACGAAGCACAUAGCCAUUACAAUUUACAGCAUAGAACUCGCCUCUGAAAAAGGUGAGAUCAGUUAAGUUACAGUGCUUCACAUAUAAACUAACUGAUGUCCAGAUAUGUUGAUGACUACCAAUUCUAUAAAAUGCUAAUGAUUUGCCCCUAUCUUGUAUGGCCAUAAGAAUCGUGCCAGAAGCAACUCUAGAUGACGACAUAGCCACUUUGUAUAUGUAACCAUCUCGCACAUGCUUGGCAUCAUCGCAAAAGUUUUCAUCUCUACCCAACGACUUGUGAAAAUCGGCAUCCCACUUAGUGCCAAUGUAGUACAGAUAGGUGGGAGCGUCUUCGUUUUCUUUCUUCUCAAUUGUCUUAUGCAUAAGAGGAAAUUCUGUGAGAGGAGGAAGAUGAUGGAUAACUCUUCCUUUGCUGCUGCUGGUUAAAGGGUUAAACAAUUGAAUUUGUGAAUUCUCAUGGACUGUAAUCAACCAACCACCAGGACAAGAACCACAAAUUCUUCUGUUCAAUAAUUCUGGAAUCUCUACUUUGUAAGUCUUGUUAUCAGUAAGACUGAAAAACCCAAUCAUAUCAUCUUCUUGGAAUGCCAUCUUAGUGUUAUGUGGAUGCUUAUAAUCCUCGAAACUGUAGAAAGGUUCAUCUUCAAAGGGUGGAUUUGGAUUGUGGUGGAAAGGAACUAUAAGCCAUGGAAGAUAAUUUUGAAAUUGCAUAGGAUCACAAACAGAUUUCCAUGAUUUACAGACCCAACCAAAACGAUAUAAAUCUGGUAGAUUCAAACGAUCUACCACCAGCUCAAGAACAUGAUCUGGGAGAACUUUUUCUGCCAUUGAUCACAAACCAAGUACUACUUGCUUCUCUUUAACAGAUCGAAUAAAAGGUUUUGUUAGUAAUAUAUAUUCACAUGCACGACCACGACCAGAACAAUUCCGUUUGAACUACAAGUUCAAUCACUUCAAUGUUGUAUUAUUGAUAGAAUGUCAACUUCGUUAAACUACAGGAAAUCUAGAGGACAUGAAUGAUAUAUCCCAUUAAAAGCCCAUCUUUCCAAAACCCUAUUGGAGAGUUCGAUCUUUCCCAUCUAUCUAUCUAUCUAUCUUCGAGGGUAUUCUCUCGACUCACUAGAAUCGAGGUUUAGACUUUUUCUCAAUAAACAGACUAUAAUACCCUUUUGGACCUGGUGUUUUAGAUUUUUCACAACUUAGAUUUUGGGCCUGUUUUUUUCUGUUUUUUUAGACUUUUAACUUCAUCAUUCCGAAAGGGUGUUAUUCUUCCCACCCAAACAAGUAGUCAAAAAACCCAAAUUUAUAAAUAGUUAAAAGUUGUCAAAAAAACCCAAUAUUAAUUUACGCCAUUGUCCUUAUUUAUAUAAUUAAUUAUUUGUUAAAUUUUGUUAACAAAACCCAACGCUAAUUUACACAAAACUAACUAUUUCAAAGAAACAUAGAAAACACCAAAUACUAUUGUUAUGAAAGUAUCUUCCUCCACCAUGGUUAUUGGAAUAUCCUCUGUAAGCAUUAUCAUAUUGAAAAGUGUGAUAUGAUCUUUGGACGAGUAUUUAUUUAGUCGAUGUUUGCAAUUGUGUAUCAAAAUCAUUUAAAGAAGGAAUUUUAUUGAGGUCUAUAUCCAUUAUCAUAUUGAAAAGUGUGAUAUGAUCUUUGGACGAGUAUUUAUUUAGCCAUUUAGAAGAAAAAAAAAACUAUUAUGUUGUGUGUUCCUCAUAGUGAAAAAUCUGUUUUGUGUUCAUCUUGUCCACUAAAACCCUAAAAACUAUAUUUAGAAAUUUUUUUCAUUAAAUUCUGUAAGUGGGUUUUUUCUCAUAACAUGCAGUGGGCUUUUUCUCCAAACAAAUUGGGUUUUUUGACAAAAUUUUGUUAUUAAGCUUAUUAAAAAAUAGGGUUACAAUAGUAAACUAGUAUUGGGUUUUUUGACAACUUUUAACUAUCUCUAAAAUUUGGGUUAUUUGACAACUUGUUUUUUCGGGAAGAAUAACACCCUUCCGAAACGCCUGCAGAAGAAAACAUUACAACUUCAACUUCUCCAAUUACACUCUUUGUUCCUCUCGGCUUCCUCCCACAAACCAUCUUCUUCUUUUUUCUUAAUCUCCUUCUAUAUCUUCCUUUAACCACUUUGCAGCUCCUCGCCUCUGUUUCCAAAGAUUAGACUCUCUUUUUUCCCUGUUCAAUAGUUGGUUUAAUGUCUGCUUCUACAAAUAUCAUGGAUCCAAAAUAUGAGUGAUGUUUUUUGUUUUUUUAGAUGUUUCAGUGCUCAUUCAUGUAUUCGAAAUUAAUAGUGAGUGUUUAGAUUCAAAUGUUAUAACUCUGUAAUUCAUUCAUUCCACAGUUGAUUAUUUAUUGCGAUUGGGUGUUUAUCAUAAUUCAUUUCCAUAGGUGGGAUCUAUAUUUUCUUUUGAAGCUAUGGCUCGGGUGGAAAAUCUCGGAUCCAGAUGAGUUAUUACGAUUUGGGCAAAUUUCUUUAUUGUUUGUACUGGUGAUCUAAUUUUAGACUUCCCCAAAUGCCUGAUCAACAUACUCUAUUUCCAUGGUAAGCUUGCAAGUAGCACUUAGCACAGUAUCCACGGAUUCCACGCCUCUCUUAUACUGGACCUUGAAAUAGUUACACUAUAAAUCUAAAUCUUCUCUCUCUCAAGUGGGGUCAUUGAGUGAUUCUUGCUAUCUUAUAUUUUUUUUCAUUUGUAUGUCAUUAAGUGUUCACUAAUUUAUGAUUGAAUCACAAUAUUGCCAGAAUUGACUUUAGUUUUAAACUACAACACUCGCUUCCAUGCCGAAGUAUUCUAACACACUGCCAACUUCCAAGUAAGUGCUUUUUUGGUGGGGGGAGGGGGGGUGUACAUAAGGGUGGCAAUCAGACCUGGCGACCCGAAACCCGACCUGAUAUGGGUCAGGUUUGGGUUUGAAUUUUUAGAGUUUUUUGGCUAAUCAGGUCGACCUGAUUGACCUGAUUGAUAAUCAGGUCAGGUUCAUGUUUUCAUUGCAAACCCAUCGGGUCGACCCGAAACCUGAUCCAAAAAAAAAAAAAAAAACCAUUUUUACUUUUUUAGUAUCUAUUCUACAUACUGCUGCUGCAUACAGCAUACAUUCAUUUCGUUCUCUCUCUCUUUGCGGCUCUCUCUCUCUCGGAUUUCAACUAAAUCACAAAUCAGUAAUCAACUUGUUCUCAAUUCUCAUCUCCUUCUUCUUCAAAUUUCAACUUGUUCUUGAGUUCUCUCACUCUUUUAGAACCAAUUCCAUUGUAAGAGGGGUUUUUAUUUUGAAUUCUUUUUUUCUAGAUUCAAUUGUUAUAUAAAUUCUUGUUGAAUGUAUAGAUUUUUUUUUUUUUUGUUGAUUCCAUUGAUUCUUACUCUCUUCAAUUAUCAAUUCUUGUUCUAGAUUAGUUUUUUUGAAUAAUUUUUUUUUUUUUUUUUAUAGAUUUAGAAUUAUUAUAUCAUUAAUAUGAAUAAGUAUGAAUUCUUGUUGAAUUUUUAAUUACUCUGUAAAAUUCCUUUGUGAAUUUAUAUUUUUUUUAUUGUCAAACUCAGAUUAAAUCGAUUAGGGAUAUUACUGUGAUGAAAAUUUAUAUGAUGGAUUGGUAUGUUUUUGUUUUUAAAAAAAAUGCAUUCAGGUUUUCAGGUCGACCUGAACCUGACCUGAUAACCUGACAGGUCAGGUUCAGGUUUCAUUUUUUUAGAAAAAAUCUUCAUCAGGUCAGGUUCAGGUUUAGGGGUUGAGACCCGAUAACCCGACUGACCUGACCUGAACCUGACCCGACCUGACCUGAUUGCCACCCCUAGGUGUACAACCAAGCUCAGAUUUUCUGUUAUUUUGUUUUGCAAUUUAAAUUACAAAAUCUCCAUCAAAUUUCUUAUUCUUUUUUUGCUUGGGUAUAUUCAUUGAUUAUGGUUGAAAUUGAAAUACAAUAAGAAAAGACAAUUAUUCUACUAUAAUAUUUCAAUAAUUCCAGCAAUACUCUUCCCAUCAUAUUGCUUCGGGGAUCGGAAAUGAUCUAAGUUGUACCAUCAGUUAAAGGGUUAGCUUAGGAAUAAUAGAUCCGCGUACAAUUAAUGUAACCUUGCACAAUCUUUAAAGAAACCUACAGAUCUCCAUUUCCUCCGGACUGGUAUGAGAUCUUAAUUUGCCCAUUUUGUCGAGGACAGAUUAGGCACAAAUCUUGGUAUUAAUUUCCCAAAACUGUACAGAAUUAGCAACUUGAAGGAAGAAACAGUUGGAGUCAUGGAAUUUCUGAAUGGUGAAGAGCUGGAAUGGAACUUUCAGUUUCGAAGAACUUUGUUUGAAUAGGAAAAAACUGAACUGGAGCAUUUAAUGCCGAUUUUGCGAGGUUUCUCUUUUGAUGAAGAUUGUGACAAUUGGAGGUGGAGUAGGAGUGGACAGUUUACAGUUCGUUCUAUAUAUGAUAAGGAGUUGUUCAAAGAUGCAAGAUAGGGAAAUGCAGAGAUUAAUGUGUUCCCAAUUGAUCUGGUUUGGAAAAAGGACUUGCUGUUGAAGAUUAAAUUUUCAUGGGGACAACAUUAUGGGAAGGACCCUGACUAAGGAUAAUUUGAAUAGGAGAGGCCAGCUACUUAAUCCGAUUUGUGCAAUGUGCGAGAUGUAUAAUGAGGACUUCAUCCAUUCAUUCUUGCAUUGUUCCAAAUCAGUAUGGGAGGCUAUUUUGAACCCAAGAGAUGAAGUCUAUUUUGAUUUGUUUACAGUAGAUGCUCUACAAUUUUCUGGAAGAGGAUAAAUAAUUAAAAACAUUCUCACCAGCAGCGGAGUUUAAUUACAAAGGGUAUGCAAUGAGAUAAAAGGCACAAUAUUGUACUGGAUGGGAUCGUGGGACAGAAGGAAGCACUGCUGUUAUCAGGAGUUGCUGCUGAAAUUAAAGUCUGUGAUUACUGUAGAUUAGGACCUUAUUUUGUAUUAUGUAAUCUUGGGACGUAAUGUGACAUAAGCUCUAGUCUUGGUAUUCAGAGCUGAGUUGUAACCAUUUUGACCUAUUAAUAAAAAUUUAAUUAUCAAAAAAAAAAAAGUUCAUUCCAUUUGUCAUCUUUUGUGCAAUUCAUUUCUAUUUGGUUUUAUUCUGUUUGUGUUUGAAUCUAUAAUUUUAUAUGUCAUAUGUAGGUUCUACUGAACAAAUCAGCAUAGGAAAAAGAAAAAUAAACUCUGUAUCAACAAACUCUGGAAAAAAGAAAAAGAAACCAUGUAUCAACCGACUCGGUUCUUCGAAAUUGUAUUGUUGAUUUGCCUUUGGUUAGUAUUUUAUUUGUAGAUUUUUCUUUGGCGAAUUACUGCAGAAUCAUACCUUGCCUUAAGGUGUUGCAUUCCUGAUAAUAUCGUUGUUUACCAACGCAUAAUCUUAAUGCAAAUUACGUUAGUUCUGUGGUUGUUUUGGUGACCAUAAUGGGGUCUUACUAGAACUAUUAAGUAAACAAUAGGAAUGAGAGGAAUGGUUUGUACUGAAUUUUUUUUUUUUUUUUUUUUUUGUAAUCAUUAUUAUAUAGAUGAUUGGUUUGUUUCUUUUUUUAAAAAAAAGAAAUGUGUUAUUAAUUUCUGAAACGAUUACAAAUACUGAACUGCAUACAGUUUUGGUGUAGAAUUGUAGUGUCAGAUUAAAGAAUAGAAAUGAGAUACAAAUACAAUAUUGUUGUAGUACUGCAGUCGUUUCAUACAAUGCAUAAACAAGUGAAAGGAAGUUACAUUGAUCAUUGCACACAUGUAGAAAACUGGUGGCAGAGUCAUCUUCGUUCUGUUACCUACCCAAUAAAAUAUAUAUUUUUUAAUACGCACUAACAUUUCCUCAAAUUCUGCUUUGUAAUAAUUAAAAUUAUUUGCCACCCCCACACUAUAAAUUUUACUUUUGUGGGUAUUAUUUUUUAAGUUUUUAAAUUUCUAAAGAUUUCUUACAAUACCAGUUGAGAAACUACAAAUAGUGCUAGUAUAACAAAUGUGAAUUCAAACAAGCAAACAAACAAUACGCAGAAAGUAAAUAACACACAGAGAUUUUUAACGUGGUAAAACCCAAACAGGGAAACGUCCACGGUUGUCCUCGCGACAACAAAAUAAUCCACUAGAUGAAAAGAGAUGUACAAACCUAUCAACUACCUGCACUCACUGCGAGUUGAUACUCCUGGUUAUCUCUAACACCUUGACUUCACCAGAGCACCUUGAUGUACGCACAAGACACUCGACUUCUUGAUGAACACACAAGAAGACUCGAAGCCGAAUUCACAAUAACUCUUGAAGAUCACAAAGAUAUGAAUUGAGAAAAGGGGGAAGAAAGGGAAUUGAGUUCAAUAGCCACAAACAAUUUCAAUAUCACAAACCUAACCAAAACACAUGAACUAGAAGAAUGAUGGACGGCCAAAGAACUAACUUGUUCUAAGGAAGAGAAAUCCUAUUUAUACUUAGGGUUGAAAACCUAGGAAAAUGGGCCGAAACAGUGCAAACCGACUUUGGACGUUCGUACGUCGAUAUGACGUUCGAACGUCGCCACACAAAAAUAAGCCUGCUGCCUAACAUGACGUACGAACGCUCUAACUCGGUACGUACGUCUCCAUACGAAAACACAUCUGCUGCCUACUUGGACGUACGAACGUCCUAACUGAGUACGUACGUCCUGACCAAAAGAUGUUUGCUGCUUCAGUGAACGUACGUACGUCCUAACUCGGUACGUACGUCCAGAACCCAAUAACUUUUCCUGGACAGACCUAAGAGACACAAGGACACGAGACGACCAUGCGUACAUCUUGAUUUUCCUAACAAUGAAUUCAAGGCGAGAUAACCAAAGACACUUUGUCACAAAAUUGAUGUCAAACCACUUCGUGCCGGUUUCAAUCUCCCCCUUUGACAUUGAUUUUGUGACAAAAACCUAUGACUCUAAUAGCACUUAUAAAACGUGCUUACAAUCCCAAACCAUGGCAUUUAUAAAACAUGCCUACAAAAACACUCAAAAUAGAAACACAUAACAAGUCACCAAUUCUUGUUAUCCAGCUUUAGGAAGAUGCUUUAACCAUCAGAGAUCGAACGGAAGCAAUCAAAGAUUCAACAGAAGUUCCUUCGAGCAACUCCCCCAUACUUCAUGAGCUCCAAAAUAUGUUUGGCACUCGAACUCCCCCAUAACAAUAUAACUUCUAAAAUCAUCAACACGUUCACUCCCCCAUACGUGUAGCAUACCUGAAACAUGACCCAAAAAUAACCUAACAACAAGAAGACGAUUGUUAGUACUUAGAGUCAUAAAUCUCCCCCUUUUUGUCACAACAAGUGGACAAAAUAACCAACUAUAAACAAAUAACCAAGAAAAAGAAAUCAAUACCAAACGAAGAAUACAAAACAUAUAAAGAUAUAAAACAAAUCCAACUGUUAAAAGUUCAGAAAGUCAACUAAUAUCCAAACAGAAAAAUCCAUAAGCAGAAAAAGCAAAACGACAAAAACAGAAGGCUUGAAUUAACGAAUUCGAAAAACCCGUUCCCAAUGUCCUAAAGGAAGCUUGGAGAAGUAAGCUUCCGCACGAGCCGAAGGUCUAUUCCACCGAGCAAUCACAUGAUCAUCAUAAUCCUCCAGCCAUUCACUCGUAGAAAACAACUCAAUCCUGCUGUCCAAGCCACAGUCGGUAAGUGGAGCAGCAAGUCCCGGAACCUUCGGAUAACCAACCAACUCCAAGAUGUGAUUUUGAAGAUGUCCCGGUAAUCUCUCCCAAUGAUUGACACGAACCAAACAAGGAUUAAGAAAAGGACGAUGAAUAUAGUCAUAUCCAUGGGGAACGCGACAUAAACGACAAACCUUAGCAUUGUUCUUAUACUCCAUUACCAUGAACGACACAUAACCAACAGUCGGAACAAAAAUUCCAUGAAGUUCAUAUUCUGCCAUAGAGGAUUCUGAAGAACAAAGAGAGAAUUAGCAAGAAGUAAGAAGACACAAUAGGAGUGAAAGAGAAAAAGACUCCCUAUUUAUAAGAAAAAUAGGAGUAAACAUAUCAUGGGCCCAAAAAGAAAGGUCCAUUACCUCAGAAAAAUUUACUGCAAAACAAGGAAACCAACUUGAACUAACAUGAAAAUAGCAAUAUCCAAGAACAUGUACAAUACUAAAAAAAUAGAAACAAACCAAUAUAGCAGUUAAGUACAAAAAUGGGAAGAGGAAACCAUAAAACCAACUACUCGGAUUCCGAGGCACCAUCACUCGGUUCACCAUCACCCUCGUCCUCACUCUCUGAGUCAUCACCAUCAAUACCCAACGCCUCACGGAUCACCUUCGGAGAAAUAGUGUAUCUCCGACCGUCAAUGAGGACCGAAAAACUCGAGCGAUUCUGCGAAGGACUCUUCGUCUCAUAGAAUGCUAUCGUAUGCUCAACCGAGUACUUGGUGAUUGGUUGAGCCACCCUUAGCCAAUUCCGAGUCUCAAAGAACAAUGCGAUAUUGCCAAGUUGAGAAGCCCCUAGAGGGGUGGCAGCAAUGUCUCCCAAGUCGAAGAAACGCUCGGGAACAAUGGCCUUGGCUCGAGGAUGAGCGCCAAGGGAUGAGGGAUGAGACGACAAACCCGGAGUGGAACCACGACCCCUCGGAGCGCGAGAAGAAGAUGCACCCUUAGAUGCAGAUGCCGUGGAGGUGCGUGCACGCUUUGAAGCCAUUUCCUACACAAACACACCAGUACACAAACCAAUAAUGUGAGAAAAUUGACAAAAUAACCAAAUUCAAGCCCAUAGAGGCAUUUCAUCAAACACUUGAUGUGCAUAAUCUGAAUACAUGGUAUUGACAACAAUGUAGCAAAGGUAAGCAACCAAACACACGGCAAAACAUAACCAAUAGCAGAUACCAUGAACACUACGCAGAUACCAUGAACAAAAACACUUCCCAAGAUUGUCCACAACAAAAAAAUGCAAGAUUGAGUAUCGAAACACCAAUUUCCAUUGAUUCAUCAUGUAAACAUACAACCUUAACUGACAAUACUAUAAAGUAUAUCCAAGCACUCAACAAAACAUGAUAAUGGAGAAGAGGGAGAGAUUAAUAACUUACAAGAGAUGGUGAUUGAGAAUGACGAACAAAUCUUCCGACCAACACACCGGACCAAAACAAGGAGAAGAGAAGAUGAACAAAUUUCAAACAAGACGAGAGAGAAGAGAAUCUCCUAAAACAAUGAUGGAAAACUAACCAAAAACUAACUACUUGUAGUGUGCCAAAGAGAGAACACGAUUGAUAUAACAGUUGGCCUUUGGUUUAACCAAAAAUUUGAAUUUAAACAGCAAAUGGGCCGGACUGUAUCAGGGACGUUCGUACGUCCUAAAGACGUUCGUACGUCGGGACUUAAAAAAAAAGAACAUCUGUCAGACCCUACGUUCGUACGUUCUAAUAACGUUCGUACGUUGGAAAUAGAUCUGCCCACCUCAACGUUCGGACGUCAUCACAGCGUUCGUACGACCCCCUUUUUUUUUUUUUUUUUUUUUUUAAAAAAUAAACCACAUAACCCGAAAAACAGAUAUUGAGAGACAUCACAAGAAAACACUUCUACGUAUCAUACGAAUUCCAAUUACAACCGAAUAUAGUUUAAACAAACCUCAACCAUAAGAGAAUGCAAAAUCGAAGAACGACACCAUACACCAUGACAUGGUAGUUACUAGAAUGAUGCAAGUAUGUAGAAGAGCCUGAUAGACCAAUACCAACCCCCGAAAAACAAACUAAAGACAUGAUCAUUGAGAAUAUUGAAAAUCACUUGCAACUAGCCCAAAAUGAAACUGAACCAGAUCACAAUACAACAAGGAAAACACACACUAUUGUUUUUCUUCUUGUCUUUCAACUAGACAAAUGCGAAAGCCACUAUUCAUUUUUUUUUUUUUUUUUUUUUGUUUUAUUUUGUAAACCAUUGAAACAGAUGCCAUUCCCGUGUGGGAGUAUGUAAUAUCUCCAUCUUUUACCAGAACACGAGGGUAGGGUGUAGCCUACAUCUUUUCGGCAAAACACACUCAAGAAGUGCAAUACCAUGAUAACGUGCAACACAAGAACUAACAUCUCUUGAGUGCAUCCGUCAGAGCAUGACCCUCACAGCCCCAACGGGUUCUUAGCCAAAUGAGUAUGCUCUCAAGACAUUCAAAUGGCUGGGGAUUUUGUGAGUCAUUGACCACUUACAAGAGGUGAGAGAAUAAAGAAAAAUAAAAACAACGAUCAUGAAAAAGCAACCAUGGAAAACUGGAGUUAUACAUGUAUUGAAAAUGUCAAGCCAACCACAUUGAAAUGCAUCAUGCAAGAAACUACCAAUACGAAGAGAGUAUAAUGUAACCCUACAACUAUGCAUGACACAAAGACAGUUGAGAACGCCAAACUAGAAACAUCUGUAAAAUGAAAUCCACACAAUAGAGAGUGUAGUAUGUCCUCAAUACCAACAACAACAAUAAAUGACCAAACCUAAACAUCCUAAACACAGACAGUUCCAAUGAACACAUUAGACAUAUGAAUGCAGAAGAGGUGUAGUGACAAUGAAGCAGUUAUCAGAUGAGCGACUACCAGAUAACACCAAGAUAUGAUUGGAAUCAAAAACAUCACACCUAUUUUCCUCAAACACAACCUUAAAUUUAGCAUCACAUAACUGACUAAUACUCAAUAGAUUGGACCUAAGACCCUUAACAAAAAGAAGCUCAUGACUAUUGAGCGAUUCAACCUCAGAAAAAUUACCUUUACCUUCAACCGGAAGCAAUUUACCAUUACCAAACCUAACCUUACCUCCAUAACCAAGAGUCAGGUUAUCAAUCAGAGUCUUAUCACCUGUCAUAUGACGCGAACAACCGCUGUCAAGAUAUCAUGAUGAAGGCAAUGGUUCAACCAAACGAGCCAUGUGAGACACCAUUUUCCUGGAUGCAUCCAUACUCCUAUCCCAGAAAUGUGGUGGUGGAGUAGGCAUGGGUGUUGCUUGAGAACGGUUUCCAUAAGGAGAAGUUCUGGGUAAACCCCACGGAGCAUAGCCAUUCCACAUGUAUGGAGCCUGCAUGGAGAAGGGGGAAGACUUGUUCCAAUAUGAGUUACCUGCAAAAGAAGGAUGAUGAGCAGGAUACAAAUUAUUCCAACAAAAGGCAGAAGUGUGACCCAUGCGACCACAUGUUAGACAUUUAAAGCCUUUGUGUCUAGAGUUCUUUUUCCGAACAUGCUUUACAUGAGUAACCUUGGGUGGUGAUACCACACUAGACACCUGCACAGGAGCAGGAAUAGUGACACUUGUUGGUCGCACAAAGGUAGUGCGGGAAGUGCUAGCAGUAGCAAGGGGAACAGAAGUGUCAUAACCUAAACCAGAUUUAUCUGAAUGGGAUUUACCGAUUCCCAACAGAGAGUUUAGAUUAGCACUUGCUUUACCAAACCCAACCAAUUGUUUGUUAGCAGCAAACAACUCAGCCUUUACAAGGGAUCGAUACCGUGUUUCCAGAUCAUUAUUCAGUUUUUCCAGAGUGACAAUACGCACUUGGAAAUCCUCCUUUUCCUUCACAAAUUCUUCCUUCAUCAUGUUGGAAUCACCUGUAAGAUUGCAUAUAUCCUGUCCAAGACUCUCUACCUGAUCCUGCAAGACGGUGUUAGUUUUUUCAAGCAACUUUACUUGUUGCAUAGAAAACUUAUACAUGUCACAUAAUUCACUAGUAGUAGCAUGAACACCAGAAUCAGAAACAUUAAUAUCAGCAGAAGAGGAUACAAUACCUCCUGGAUGUUCAUCCAGGGAUGCACUGAAGACCACAUAAUUAGAGACAACAUUUGAGAGAUUCCCAUCAUCAUCUUCAUCUGAAUCAUCCCAUGUUACUGUGAGAUUCGCUUUGGAAUUAUCACCAGGUUUGCGAUCGACCUUCUUAUCACAUUCAUUUGCAAAGUGUCCAUAAUCACGACACUUGUAACAUUGGACAUCUUUACGAUCAACUCGAGCUCUUCUCCCAUCCACAGAGAACCGCUCAAAACCACGACUUCUAGGAGCAUUUGAGGAAUCAGGAAAUCGCUUUCGAGGAUCUCGAUUCUGUUGAUAUUUCAGAAUCUUCUGAAAGCUACGUGACAGGAACGCAUAGUUAUCAUCCACAUCCUGUUCUUCAUCAUCAGAAGGUCCUGUGGAAGGUUCUUUAGACGAUGUAGCUUUGAAUGCUACAGAUUUGUUCUUCAAAGGUUCUUCCAAAGCCUGUUCCAUCUCACAUGUCCUUAGUUUCCCAGCAAGUGUCUCGAUGGACAUGUUCUUAAUCACAUUGCUCUCAGUGAUGGCAUCCUUACGUGAACGAAACCGAGGAGGCAAAGCACGCAAUAUCUUACGUACCACCUGCGUGUCAGUAUAUGCAUGACCAAUAGCCGCACUGCAGUUGAUGAUGUCUUGGAGACGAAUAAAGAAAUCAUCAAAGGUCUCAGAAUUAUCCAUCCGUAGAUUCUCAAACUGAGAUGUUAACAGUUCCAGCUUACUUUCUUUGACUGUUUCGUCACCUUCAUGUGUACAGAUAAGCCUGUUCCAUGCAUCUUUAGCCUCUUCACAGCCCUGCACCCUACGAAACUCACUAGCAUUUAAUGCCAUGAAAAUAGCAUUGAGUGCCUUGUUGUUAUAAUUUGCCAACAACUUCUGUUCAGGCGUCCACUUUUCACGUGGCGUCAGUGAUGUAACAGCAGUAUCAUCAGUACCUGUAGUAGUCAGAGGUUCUUUCCACCCUGUGACAACAGAAAGCCAGACUUCUUCUCCUAAUGCUUGGAGAUAAGCUCGCAUACGUACUUUCCAAUGACCAAAGUCCUUUCCACUGAAUUGUGGGGGAAGACUUGAAGUAGCAGACUUGUGAGAUUCCAUAAAGCACUAUUGAUCGUUAGCGUGAGCCUUUACGCUCCUUAACCAGCCCCCAGCGACUGAUACCAAUUGAGAAACUACAAAUAGUGCUAGUAUAACAAAUGUGAAUUCAAACAAGCAAACAAACAAUACGCAGAAAGUAAAUAACACACAGAGAUUUUUAACGUGGUAAAACCCAAACAGGGAAACGUCCACGGUUGUCCUCGCGACAACAAAAUAAUCCACUAGAUGAAAAGAGAUGUACAAACCUAUCAACUACCUGCACUCACUGCGAGUUGAUACUCCUGGUUAUCUCUAACACCUUGACUUCACCAGAGCACCUUGAUGUACGCACAAGACACUCGACUUCUUGAUGAACACACAAGAAGACUCGAAGCCGAAUUCACAAUAACUCUUGAAGAUCACAAAGAUAUGAAUUGAGAAAAGGGGGAAGAAAGGGAAUUGAGUUCAAUAGCCACAAACAAUUUCAAUAUCACAAACCUAACCAAAACACAUGAACUAGAAGAAGGAUGGACGGCCAAAGAACUAACUUGUUCUAAGGAAGAGAAAUCCUAUUUAUACUUAGGGUUGAAAACCUAGGAAAAUGGGCCGAAACAGUGCAAACCGACUUUGGACGUUCGUACGUCGAUAUGACGUUCGAACGUCGCCACACAAAAAUAAGCCUGCUGCCUAACAUGACGUACGAACGCUCUAACUCGGUACGUACGUCUCCAUACGAAAACACGUCUGCUGCCUACUUGGACGUACGAACGUCCUAACUGAGUACGUACGUCCUGACCAAAAGAUGUUUGCUGCUUCAGUGAACGUACGUACGUCCUAACUCGGUACGUACGUCCAGAACUCAAUAACUUUUCCUGGACAGACCUAAGAGACACAAGGACACGAGACGACCAUGCGUACAUCUUGAUUUUCCUAACAAUGAAUUCAAGGCGAGAUAACCAAAGACACUUUGUCACAAAAUUGAUGUCAAACCACUUCGUGCCGGUUUCACCAGUGAGUUAAAAUUUUAUUUCACGUGCGCUUCUUUUUUACAUGCUUACAAUACUAAAUUCUCAUCUUCCUAUAUAUAUGAACAAGAACAUCAAUGGACGAAGGUCAGGAAAGUCAAAUGUGAGAAUCUGCACCAGGAAUAUCGCUCUUCUUGCAGUAAGUCUUGCUCUAAUCAUUUAUUGCAAAACUAAACAAUGUUAUGCAUACAAUCGUUGCAUGUAUUUCAUUAAGGUUGAAUUUAAGGCCUGUGCAAUGAUUCUUUUAUCUAACUUCGAAUAACCUUUUGUGGUCGAUGGUUGUUAUUUAUAAGUUAUAUAAUCUUUCAACUUAUUAUACUUUUAGUUUGACAGUUUGCUAAGACUUGAAAAAUUAGAUUUAUGAAUACGUGUUAAGUGUAUAAAUAAUACUUCCACCACAAGUUUGACGUCAUAACUCAAUACAAGUGAUGAGGUCGAUACUACGAUCGAUGAGUAUAAGUUGGGUUCAUGCUAUCACCUAUACUACUCCCGUGUUCUCUUCUAUCCAGUGUUAUUACCUAAGCUCUGGAUACAACCAUUGCAUGUCUUUAAGGUAGCAUUUUACGCGUUAAUGCACGGGUUCUUUUAUCUAACUUUGAAAACCAUUUCGUGAUCGGACGCUGUUGCUUAUAAGUUAUAGUCUUUGAACUCAUCAAAUAUAUACUUUUAGUUUGACGUUAUUUAUUUUCUGCUCUUCUAUUUUUUACUAUCAGAUGUAGCUAUCCAUGUCUUCGAAUGAAAGCAUUUAGCUUUUCAAAUUAUUUAGAGCAAACUUUUCAUUCGGAGCGUCAUUCCAAUGCAUCAUGAAAGACAGAAUACUACUAUUCUGCAUACUACUAUUCUGCAUCUUAUAGGUUAGGAGUUCAGAGUGAAUGAACAAUUACUACUAUUCUGCAUUAUAACUAAACAUUCCACUCACUUAAAUUUCCCGCCGUAGGUUUCAUAUAACCUCUCCCCUGCCCUGUACUUAAAUUUCUUGAUAUGUCCCUUUAUAUAUGGUAACAAGAUUUUUCAUUUACUAUUUUAUGUCUAUCAGUUGCAAAUUGAAUUGAGGAACCAGAUCUGCUCUAUAAUACCCUUACAGUUUAAUUAGUAAAAAAAAGUAUCUCUUACAUUGAUUCGCUUAAUGUUAUGACAAGUAAGACUCCCGUUGUUGUGCAUUCUCUAAUUGAUUUUAUACACUUACAUCAAUGUUUAUAUAGCUCGAGUUUAAAAGCAGUGUCAAUGAUAAGUUUGUAGGUAAUGUAGCAGAGGUUUGUGUUAGUGCACAAGAAAUAUAUCUGGUGAAGUUAAUGAAACUGUACAAUUUUCAUAUUGUAUACUUAUAACACUGAAGCUAUUCCUUUCCCCUGCUUUUUGUUUGGAUACAAAGAGGUAAAUAUGUUUACAUUUGAAUUUCAAGAAUUCUGAGCACCUCAUGAAAUACAUUUUUGUUUUCCUUAUUUAAUUUUGGUUAGUUGAUAUGAAGGCUCAUGCAAAUGUUUUUGUUGUUUUGUAAUUUACCUCAAUUUGCAGAAUCGCAGAUGAUACUGAUAAUGUUGCAGUUGUGGUCCAUUGUCACAUAUAAGGUGGGUUCUCUAUGAUUGAUGAAGUAUAAUAAGGUGAUUUUAUCUGUCCACACUUCACACGUUUUUAUUUAUGGAAGAGAAAUUUUGGUAGUUAACUAUGAGAGUGAGUAUGUCAUAUAGCCCUCCCAUAUCAUGUUGUUAUUAUUUAAUAUGAUUAAAAAAAAUUGUUGGUCCCAGUUCCAAGAGUAUAUUAUUUUCUUUCAUUAAGAUUUCAAGCCCUGAAAAGUUCAUGUAGAUUAUGAACGGCCCAUAUGGAUAAUUAUGAAAUAUUGAAUAUUUGUUCUUUUCUUUUAAUGCAGAUUUGAGUGAACGAUUGCACAGAAUGGUUCAAACUCAAAGCCAGCAAAAAUUUGCUACCACAUUCCACAUAGAAAGGUAAGUUCACUAAUUAAAACUAAACAUCCAAUUGGUUGAAAAUCCAAUCUGUAUAUUAAUCUUUGACCCCUUCUACUGUUCUACUUUUACUAUAAAAGAAAAGAUAGUUUUGUUUUUCUAUUUCCAUUCUCGCUCCUCAAAAGACUCUUUCAGGGUCUUCUUCAAUAUCAGAAUUAUUUGGAGACCUUCAGUUGCUUUCUUAUUUCAAAUGUUUGUUUCUAUUCUUCUUUUAGAGUUUAAUUUAAAGUAGUUUGUAAUUUUUGUAUUCUUCUUUCAACAUAUAAUUUAAAUUUAGAAGUUUAUAGGAAAUAUAGAGUAAGACUAAUAUAAUGUUUUAGUUGGAACUGUAUGAAAUGAACUGAAGUGUUGUGCAUUCAUGGUCAGAAUGUAGACUGAUACUUCAGGUAAAAUAGGGUAGAUUCUGAGAAGUUUUCUUAAUCAUUCUAAUUGGCCACUGGAUUGAUGCAAUAUAUUUUGAGUUGUAUUAUACUUCUAAUUUCAGGCUUAUUUAUACACAGUGGCCAAUUAGAAUGGUUAAGAAAACACUAGAAUAUAUGACCAUUUAUGAUCCAUCAGUUUGAAAAGAAAUAAGGAUUUUUAAUACUAUGAAACAAGAGUGUUAUCCAAGGAAAAGAAAAAAAAGUUAUUUCGUGUAUUGAAUUCCCACCAAUGUAAAUGGAAACUGAUAGCAUGCACGAAGAAAUAUGAAAAAUUAUAUAAAAAUAUAGAGUGUGCCUGGACUUCAUUUUGGUUGAUUAGACCCAGCAUUUACAUUUACGAUUAUUUUGAGACAUAUUACUUGAGCUUAAAUUCACAUAGCUAUGUUGUUUAUAUUGGGAAGGAGAAGGUAUGAUUGGGAAGAGAAUCAAUUCAAACUGGACAAACUCAAGCAUGCUGGUCAGGAUUGUAUUCUACUUUUAUUUUUAAUAAAAUACGAUUUAUAAAAAAAUAAAUAAAUAAAUAAAUUGUAGUGAUGAUAUCAUCCAUCUAGAUGUUUGUUUGUUUGUUUGUUUGUUUCUUCUUCUUCUCCGAGUCAUUCCAUAUGACUCAAUCGAAUAAAUCUCGAAGUAAUACCAUCAGCUAAACCAAAACUGACUUAUCCCGUGUGUAGCACGGUUUCACCUAUUAGUUAAACUAAAAAUAGGAAAAAAACAUUGAUUAAAAUUAGAACUUAAACUAAAAAUAGAAAAAAAAAACAUUGAUUAAAAUUAGAACCAAACUAUCGACUCGAUCUUAACUUGACUGACUUAACCGAUCUUAAUAAAACCUUAAUAAAAACAUUGAUUACAAUUGAAAUUGUGAAUUCUCAUGGACUGUAAUCAACCAACCACCAGGAUAACAAGCACAACUUGUGCAUCUACUUGUACCCUCCCCCCUAACCCUCCCCCCUUUCCCUCCUUAUCUUUCCUUUUCUGGCAAAAAAACCACCGUCGAUGUACUUUCACUACCUCUAACACCAUGCCUGAAUCGCAACCCUCACCAUCUUCCACUUCAAUUUCCUCAUCCACCCCCACCCCCAAGCCUCUUAUUUGCACCGCUGUGCAGGAUCUACCACCACAGGAUGGAUUAGCGGUGGAUCCAUUAGUCUCUGUGAACGAGAAGCCUCGAUUAUGGUCGACUCUUCUCAAAACAUUACCACCGUCGGCUGGAUCUAUGAAUCUGGAGUACUCUGAACCGAUCUUUGAAGAAGGAUUUCUGCAAAUUCCGGAACGAAUUAGGGAAGAAGGAGCAAAAAUAUGGGAAGACCGUGUUGUAGGAUUCUUUAUUGACAAAAAACUGCCUUUUAGCUAUGUCAAGUCUGCUUUGGUUAGCAAAUGGAAAACACUAAGAGCGUAUGAAAUGGCUCUUGAUGGAGAUCUAUACUAUUUCAAGUUUUCUGCUAUAAAAGAUAGAGAGAGAGUUCUAGACGAAGGAUCACUACAGCUAGCUGGGAAGCUAUUCAUCAUACGGCCAUGGACUAGAGAAGUGGAGAAUUCUAGAGGUAUGAUUAAAUCUGUACCUAUAUGGGUUAAGAUGUCUAGGGUUCCAAAGGAUUUGUGGAAUCCUAAAGGUUUCAGCUUUUUAGCAAGUACUAUUGGUAAACCGCUAUUUACUGAUAAAACCACUGAAAAUGGAAACAUGCUCUCUUUUGCUAGAGUUUGUAUUGAGAUUGAACCCAAAAAGGAUCUACCUUCAACCAUUCCUCUAGCCAAAGAUCAAGUCAUAGAGCUAGAGUACCCUUGGAAACCCCUGAUCUGCACUAAGUGCAAAGUAUUUGGUCACCCUUCAUCCAAAUGCCUCCCACCUCCACCCCCUGCUAAGCCCACAGCUUGGAAAACCAACACUCAUAAAAAACCCCAACUUCCAUCAAAACCUGCAACAAAGCCUAUUAAACCAAUUCAAAAGUCCAAUUUUCACAUUGGCAGCUCAUCCAAAUCAGCACCCACCAUUGUUGUCAUUACUUCUAAUGACAAUAUCAACAACCCAUUGAAUGAAGUGGUUGUUAUCACAACACCACUAUCUGCUAGUGCAGUUGUUACUACACCCAACAUAUUUGCCAGUUUGGCUGAAGGAGAACAUGACACUGUUGCCGACAGUGAUGAUGUUAUUGUACAAGAGGAAGUGGAGGAUGGAACUCUGCAUAAACUUUCUGCAGCAAGUAAUCCUCCUAUUACAAACAAGAAGACAACAGAAGAAGGGAAGGCAAAAGAAAAUAAGCAACAUGAAAUGAACACCUCAUCUAGUAAUGAUACAGAUGUGGAGAAAACAAAGAAAGUCAAGAAAAAGAAAUUUCAGAAGGAACCUGGCUCUGAGUUCAAUGAAGGGACAACAGAGAAAGGAGGGAGGGACAAACAAUCAAAAAAGUCGUAAUGUGUUCCAUCUCAACAUGGAAUAUAAGAGGUCUCAACGACCCGACUAAACAGAAUGAUGUGAAGAGUAUGGUGUAUGGAAAGAAUAUUAAAUUAGUAGGACUUACAGAAACUAAAGUCAAGCAUAUGAAGUACAACACAAUUCAGCAAAGGAUGCUUCCCAAUUGGUCUAGCAAGCACAAUGGUGACUAUGAUCCAAGGGGGAGGAUAUGGCUUCUUUGGGAUCACAACUAUCUCAAAGUAACUAUAUUAGCUGUGAGUGACCAAUUCAUUCACAGCAGGGUAACUGACUGUAGCAACAAAGCAGAAUAUUUGCUCACUGUAGUCUAUGGAAGGAACAAUAAAUAUGAUAGAAGGAAGCUCUGGAACGCCCUCUCUACAAUGAAUAUCACCAACGAGCCAUGGAUUGUUUGUGGUGAUUGUAACAGCUGCACAGACAUCAAUGAUAAGAUUGGAGGUAAUCAACUGUCCUAUGGGGAUAUCAAUGAUAUUAAGGAGUUCGUUAAUGACAAUGAUCUGGAUGACUUACCAACCAAAGGAGGCCUUUAUACUUGGUCUAAUAAGUCUACAGGGCCUAGUAGAACUCUCACAAAGAUCGACAGGUGGUUUGCUAACAUAACCUGGCAAACUAUGUUUAACUCCACCUAUGUGGAAAUACUGAAUCCUGGGAUUUCUGAUCAUGCCCCCCAAGUGCUGCAAUGGGGUAGUAAUGAUGUAAAACCUAAGAGCUUCAAAUUCUUUAAUCAUUGGGCAGCAGACUCAUCUUUCCUACCAAUGAUUGAGCAAGUUUGGAAGCAACAAACACUGGGAAAUCCUAUGAUGAAACUUACGACAAAGUUGAAACUCACCAAAGAUAUGUUGAAGGUGUGGAGUAAAGAAAAAUUUUCUAAGCUCAGUGAGAGGACAGCUAAUGCAAAGGAGGAACUCCACAGAAUCCAAGAUGAAAUCCAGCAAAGACCACUUGAUAGAAUACUGGCAGAGUUGGAAAUUGAAGCUUCUACCAACUACAGUGAACUGGCAAGGCAAGAAGAAUCCUCUCUGUACCAAAAAGCCAAGCAGAAAAAUGUAUUGAUGGGGGAUGGUAACAAUUCCUAUUUUCACAAUCUUGUGAAGGGCAGAAGAAACAAAAAUACAAUCAUGAGUGUGAUCAACCUAAAAGGUGACAACAUGAGUGAUGAAGCCUCAAUCAGAGAUGCCUUUCUUGAUUAUUACGAUCAGCUGCUUGCAGUUGAACACAGUGGUGAUUUACAUACUGAGGGACUGGACAAAAUGCAGUUUCUACAGUUGGGCAAUCAGCGGGAACUUCAGGAGUUGGCUAGCGAUGUUACUAGAGAAGAGAUCAAAUUUGCUUUAUUUGAUAUUGAUGACAAUAGUGCACCUGGCCCUGAUGGUUUUGGCUCAUACUUCUUCAAGGUAUGUUGGAGUAUCAUUAGUGAUGAUUUUUGUAAAGCAAUUUCAAACUUCUUUACUUCUGGUAAAAUGCUUAGGGGUGUUAAUGCUACUAACCUUUGCUUGAUUCCAAAGAAAACCAAUGCUGCACAUGUCAGUGACUAUAGACCAAUAGCAUGUUGUAAUGUGAUUUACAAAUGUAUUUCCAAAGUUGUGGUGAACAGGCUUAAAAGACUAUUGCCAGAAGUCAUCAGCCCCAACCAAACUGCUUUCAUCUCAGGGAGGAGCAUAUUAGAUAAUGUUCUCAUUUCUCAUGAACUUCUGCGAAAGUACAACAGGAAGAGUAUUUCCAAGAGAAGUGCAGUGAAAAUUGAUUUAAGGAAAGCCUAUGACAUGGUCAGGUGGGAUCUUAUUGUCGAGAUUCUUAUCAGAAGUGGUGUCCCCCAUAGAAUGGUGAUUUGGAUUCAUGCAAUGAUCUCCACAGCUCAUUUCUCUGUUUUGAUUAAUGGUCAUGCACAUGGGUUUUUCAAAGGGAAAAGGGGUCUCAGGCAAGGAGACCCCAUGUCGCCAUUACUAUUUGUUCUUGUCAUGGAAGUGUUAGGCAAAUUGUUGGGUGAAAAGUACCAACAAGGGUUGUUCUUACUGCAUCCAAAAUGCUUAAAUCCGACUAUUACCCAUCUGUGUUUUGCGGAUGACUUGCUGGUGUUCUGCAAAGGAGACCUUGCCUCAGCCUACAACAUUAAUAUUGUUCUCUCAGAGUUCUAUCUUCUCUCCGGUUUACAGGCUAAUCCUCUUAAAAGUUCCGUUCUCUAUGGGGGUGGCACAGAGAUUGAAAAACUUGAAUUUGCUACCAUUCUUGGGAUGCAUAUUGAGAAACCACCCAUAAGGUAUCUAGGGCUCCCGUUGCUGGCCUCUAGACUAUCUAUUCAUGAUUGUCAGACUCUGGUGAAUCAGUUCAAGACCAAGAUUCAAGCUUGGGCCAAUAAAUCUCUGUCAUAUGCUGGAAGGAUGCAAUUGAUUAAUUCAGUGUUGGCUAAUUCCCAUGUGUUUUGGACUCAGGUUUUCUUGCUCCCCCAUGAGACCAUUAAACAGCUCAACAGAAUUUGCAGCAAUUUUUUCUGGUCAGGACAAGAAAAUAACAAGAAGCACAGAAUUAGUUGGUUCAAGAUUUGUAGACCUAAAGAUGAAGGGGGUUUAGGUGUCAAAUGUAUUAAAACUUGGAAUUGUGCAGCUAUUUCAAAACUUACUUUCAGAAUUGCCAAAAGGGAUGAGUCUCUCUGGUAUGCAUGGGUCAAGAAUAAUCUGAUCAAACAGCAGCAUUUUUGGACGAUGACCAUUCCAAAUGACUGCACAUGGGCCUGGAAAGGAAUUCUGCAAGGAAGAAAGCUUAUCAAACAACACAUCAGCUACACCAUUUCCAGUGGGGAAAGCAUCUCUUUUUGGUAUGACCCCUGGUCUUCUCUUGGCAUCCUUAGAGAAUUUUUCAAUGCAGCUGAAAGAAGUGACUUUAGAAUCAGAGACAAUGCAAAGCUCAAUGAUUUCAUAAGAGACGGAAGAUGGUGCUUCCCUAACACAACUAACAUCUGCAUAUCUCAAGUUAAAGAAGCAGCCAAUACAAUUGUGGUAGCUAGAGAUAGCAUUGAUGACCAAAUUGUAUGGCAACCACAUCCAUCAGGGCAGUUCACCAUCAAAACUGCAUAUGAAGCUUUAAGGCAGAGAAAUCCUAAAACUCCAUGGAGUAGGGCAGUGUGGAAUAAAGCAGUGAUACCGAGGCAUGCUAUGACCACAUGGAUGGGAAUGCAAGACCUUCUACCUGUUCAAGACAAACUGGUUAAUUGGGAUGUUCUGAAAGUCUCAAAUUGUGUUCUAUGCAACAUGAGACUCAAGCCAAGGAUGGACAACAUCAAUGCCAGCUCUACUUUUGUCUCAGCAGCAACUCAAGAUGCAACCUGUAGCAUUCCAGACAAUCCUAUUGUGCCUAAAAUAUGUUCUAGUCAAUUUUACAACCACAAUAGAAGGAGGGUUUCUAAAACCUCACUCAAUUGGGCUAGUAUCCAAACUAGCUCAAGCCAAGGUCCUAUCCCUGAAAACUGUCAUCAUUUGUUCUUUGAUUGCAAUUUUUCUAAAGGCAUAUGGCAGAAGAUACUAAAUUGGUGCAAUAUUUACAAACAAGUAGAACAGGCUCCUGUGGAGUGGUCUUGGAUUGUAAGUAAUAGCACAGGGAAUGAGCUUCACAGCAAUAUGUUCCAGGCAUCAGUAGCAGCUACCCUGUACUGGAUUUGGUCAGAGAGGAACAGCAGGAUUUUCAGAGAUGAAACACAUAGUGAAGGGAUCAUCUUCCAAAGAAUUAUGAAUGAUGUAAAAUGGAGACUCAGCAAAGUUGACAGAUUACAACAUGAUAAUUCCAAAAAUAGAGCAGCAGCUAGUGCUCUAGGUUCCGAUUGCAAGUUCAGGAGUUUGAAACCAGUUUUGGUAGCAUGGGAACCACCUCACAUUGAUGAAGUUGCUUUAAACACAGAUGGCUCAUUAUCAGACACUGCAGCAGGAAUUGGAGGAGUUUUCAGAGCUCAUGAUGGGACUGUUUUGAUGGCUUUUAAUGCAGGAACAACUAGCCCAUCCAUACUGUAUAUUGAAAUGCUUGCAAUAUUUGCUCAUGAAUUAAAAUUCAAGACUAUCUAUGUGCAGAGUGACUCUCAGCAGGCUUGUCACACAAUUCAAGAACUGGUUCAACCUACUUGGAGAAUCAGAGGGCUACUUCAGGAAAUCAAGGAAAUCACCAGCAAGUUUGACAACUUCAGGAUUAAGCAUACGUUUAGAGAGACUAACUCUGUUGUUGAUUCUUUAGCAAAUUCUUGUACUAGUGAGGACUCUUUAGUUUUUCAUUGUAAUCCACUUCCUAAACAUCUCAGCUUAUUAGUUGAUCAAGAUGCUAGGGGUAUGAUGUACAAAAGACACUGAUUCUUUAAUAUAACAGGUAGGGGGCUGCCUUCACCCCAGCUUGCAUUUUGCAAAAAAAAAAAAAAAAACAAGCACAACUUCUUGGAAUGCCAUCUUAGUAUUAUGUGAACGCCAAUAACUUCCGUACCGCUUUCAGGAUCAUCCAAAGGGUGAAUUUGGAUUGUGGAGGAAGGGAAUUAUAAGCCAUGGAAGAUAAUAUCGAAACUGCAUUGAUCACAAACAGACUUCCAUGGUUGGAGUUCAUCCUUUGGUUGGAGUUUGUAGUAUGGAUAUCACCACCAUGAGUAGUAGAAUGUUUCGGUCAAGCACUACCACUAUUAACAGCAACUUUGUUCCCUCUUAUAUGAUCGUCAAUGAAAUCUAAAUUUUUUAUAAUCCUCUUUUAUUUUUACUUUUAGGUGUGUGUGCGCGCUAGAAGUUGACAACGAGAAAGUGUGAGUAUAAGACCAGAGAGAAAAUGUUUUUUCAUUUCAUAACCAUCACUCUGACCAUUUUUGUUCAGAAAUCCAUCUGUACGGCUUGAAGUUGUGAUGAGUGAUGACACUAUGCUUACAUUUAUUUCACCCAAUAUACCACAAAAAAAUUCGAGGUCACCAAUCAGGGAAACAAGUAAACAACUUAACAUUUAUUGAACAUACACAGACGAUGGGUUUUUCAGAAGUUUCAAGUCCAGAGGAUAAGUAGUAAUCGAGUACACAGCUACACCACAGCAUUUUCACCGAUGGUAAUCACAGAAAUACAUUAGUUGCUACAAAGCUAAUCCUAAGUCACUUCAAUGCAACAAAAGCCGCAUUGAAGGGCUGAUCUACAAAAGUACAAGUAUUUU